AAUAAAGGAAGCUUUGUUGCUAGUGGGUAACUUCUCUAGUAGCUCUAGAAGUCUGGUUAACGAAAUUCCAAGAUAAAAAAGACGGGAGUGAAUAUUCUAUGGGCCGAAACCAUUAGUCACGGCCUUACUAGUUGGGCAAGCCGGCUGUUUCCCCCCAAGCAAUUAACGGUCUAACUGGCCCAGCCUCACAGGCCCGCGUCGCCCCGGUCCAGCGUUCCCCGGUUCCCCCCCACCUCCACCCGCCGGCGACGGCGCCCGCCGCGACCCGACGGUGCCCAGACGACUCCCCUCCGCCGCCGCCUAGGGAGGGGCUGCGACCAGCCGCGAACAGGUCUCGUCGUCGUACCCGCAUCGGUACGCCCUCUGUCCACUUUCACCGCCGCCCUCGGAGGUCAGGUCAAUCCCACUCUCGCCGUGCCGCUAGGUUCUCCGUGCCUUCAAAUCUCGAUCUAUUGUUUUUCUUGCCCCUAUGUUACAAUUAGCGGUGAAACGCAGCGAUUGUUUGGACCAAUCGAAUCGUGGAACAAAAUCUGACUAGUCAACCACUGAACCGAAUGCUCUUGCUCGCUGUAAGCCGUGUGUUGCAAUCGUACUGGCAUUUUCAACUGUCUUUUUUUCUUGUUCCCGUGAAAUGAAACAUUAUAAUGGUACCAUACAAAAAUUUUGAAGAAACCAUUAUUUUUCUCAACAUGAAUUUUUUUGAGUAAUUUUCUUAACGAUAACAUGUUUUACUAUACGGAUCCUGCCUUUUGACAAGGCUUUGGGUCGUUCAUUGCAGAAUUGGACUACCACUUGUGUGCCUUUAUUGAAUGGAAACUUCUAUUAGUGUAACUUGUAAGGUGUUACAUACUUCUGGCACCAUACUUAAUUUGGUAGGUAUAAGAAACACGCGAUGUAAUCACCAUGAGACCUUGCUGCAAACAUGCUUUUAAUAUCCAGUUCGUAUGUUUGGGUGUGUUAGGGGACCUUCCUGCUACUGUUAUUAAGAUUGUUUGUUAUUAUAGUGAAAAAGGGUAUAUUGUGCGCGGAGAAAAUUUUGAUGUAAUCAAGGCUUGAGAAUGAAAUGUGGUUGAAUGGAGCUGCUCCACAAUGUUGUUUUCAUUUCUUCAAUGUAAAACUAGUAUGGUCUCAAACUCUCAAUAUUAAUCUCUGGAAGAAGCAAUGGGAAGAAUGUGCUACAGUGCUAGAAUCAUCAUUUGAGAUGAGCCAUGGGAUUGUCCUAGUGACUAGCAUCCUUAUACUACUUGAGACUUGCACAACCAUGUAUAACUGGUACUGAAAAGGUUUUGGUCAUGUUGUAAGAUCAAUUUUCCAUUGAACCUUGGCUUCUUAAACUGCCAAGUUAACUUCUUAUAGACUGAAUUCGUGAAAAAAAGAAACCUCCUAUAGACUUAGGACACUAGUGCUCAAACUUCUAAACUCUAAGCUUGCAAGAAUGGGUCUUUUGUUUUUACUGUCAUUCGAUUCCUAAGAUUUUCUUUCUUACUGGGUGAAAUAUUCAACCGUACCAUGUUUAUUUCAGUGAAAAGAUCAUGUGCAGAACAGAUAUUGAGAAAGAAACAUAGAACUUGUUCUAAUUUAUGCUUAAACUAUGUUGGUGUUUUGUUUCCCAUGUCGAUUUCGAGGCUGAAAUAUACACUUCAGCUCAAAAUUUCAUUGUACUUCAGUGUUAUAUGCAUGGCUGGUUCGGAUCAGAUGAUUGACGAUAAGACCCUUACCCUCAUCUUACUGUUGUUUAGGCUCUGCCGUAGCCAUGGUGAAGUUCUGAGGCCAAGUGAUAACAGCUGCAAUAGGCUUCACUGCUUCAAGUAGACUCUUCUAAAAAUUAUGGAUAGAAUCACAUAGUAGUAACCAAACUAACCAAUAGAUGAGAUACCACAUACAACUAUUUUUAUCCUAGGAAAACAAUUUAUUUUAGGAAACUGAUAUUCUUGCUGGAGAGAUGAAGCCUUCAUAACAUCUGUGGCCCAUUGCUAGAGACGGUAUUAGCGGCCAUAACUUCCACAAUAUAGCUUUUGCUUCAGUAGGUAACCAUAUCUAAUUUCCAACACCAUUAUGUUGGUUCAUACAUAUAAUAAUCUUAAAAUAUGCUGGAGUAACACUAUGGAAGUGAACUGACAAAUGAAGAAGGAUCAGGAGGAGUGGGGACUGUGGGGACUGCAGCUGCUUCGUCAAGCAUUUGUGUCACUUUGAGCAUUGUAGGUCUCAUUGUUGGGUCCUCCUGGAGGCACCACAAUGCCACUGCCACAAACCUUUCCACCUUCAUCAAAUUGAGAAUUGCUUCAUCAUCACCCUCCACCAGAAAAUCAACCCUGCCGCACCUAUAACAGUCAUUUGCCCAGUCAGUCAGUAUUUUUUGAUCUUCUUCAGCCUCCAACUCAACAUUCCGCCGGCAACAGAUGAGCUCCAACAGGAUGACCCCAAAACUGUAAACAUCCACCUUGGCAGUGAUGCCAAUGCUCUUGAACCACUCAGGGGCUACGUAUCCUCGGGUGCCCCGGAUACCUGUAUUUGUUUGUGUCUGGUUUGUUCGGAGAAGUUUGGCUAAGCCAAAGUCUGAGAUCUUUGCUGUGAAGUUGCCAUCGAGAAGGAUGUUCUGGGGCUUUAUGUCACAAUGGAUAAUCUGUGUGCUGCAUUCCUCAUGUAAGUAUAGCAGCCCCCUUGCCACUCCAAGAGCAAGCUGAGCUCGAAGGUUCCACUCAAGCCUGACAUCACCAAAUAGGAAUUGAUUGAGUGAUCCAUUGGUCAUGAAUUCAUACACCAAUAGUCUUUCUUUUCCUUCAUUGCAGAAUCCUAGCAACCUAACCAAGUUCUUGUGGUGCGUCCGUCCAAUUGUCUGGACUUCAACGGUGAACUCUUUCUCUGUUUCAUGCUCAAGCUUGUCAAUUUUCUUAACCGCAAUGUAAGUGCCGAGAUCAUCUUGUAACUGGCCCUUGUACACAAUACCAGAGGCACCAGUGCCGAGUACCUCCUGGAAUCCGCUGGUUGCCUUCUCAAGCUCAGCAUAAGCGAAGGCUUUCAAGGGCAAUCCUAUAUUGUUUGAUGACUGCAGAGAUGGGAUUUCCUUUACGGUGAUAGUACAAUAAGUACCAAAAAGUAUAACAGAGGUCAGCAGAAUGUUAACUAGGACAGAGCUUCCCAAAAACAACGAACUUCCAAGGAUCCAGUUCUUCUUGUCUUCCUUCCAUUUGUUGGAACCAACAAGCUCAGCUUGUGUACUGUUGUUCUUCCGUACCUUGACGAAAAGUGUCCUCUCCACAUUAUCUCCCAUCUUGCCAUUUGACAAAGGCAUCUUCUUCUUCCAACAUGUAUUAUCUUGGUCAUGGAAGACAGCAACGGCACAGAAACAAUCUGUCAGACAGAGUUGCUGGCACUGAUCCUUAGUUAUGGGGCUGUACUCCUCAUAGUCAGCUAGAGGCCAAUCCACACUGUUCAUCGGUAUCAACUUAAACUGCAUACUGGCAGCUGCUUCAUCCAAGUCACAACUUUGUGGCUGGAAGUCAGGUUUGCAGCCUUUAUACUUCCUCUCCUCAUCAAUAAACGAAUACUGCUCUGGGCACAGGCAAAUACUCUGGUUGUUUCUGCCAUUGAAUGUGCAGUAACUGUUAAACCCACAAAUGCCGCUUCCAUCAUUUGUCAGUUGUGCGUCACAGAUAUUUGGGGGCUUGAAGUCCACUACUGACCAUGCUUGACUACUCAGGUUGCUGACCUUCUUCGGGCACCGAUAUUGCCUGAACACACCAUCUGGGUCAAGUGUAGCACGAUGAUAGUAGUCUAACAUGGAACCGGUGACCCCAGAUGUCACACUGAUCUGUGUUCCGUUAUCCAAGGUGAUGUAUACCAUGCCAGUCGCAUUGAACACCAGCUUUGUGGUGUUCCCAGCCAUGGACCAGUAGUAGUCAUACAUCUUACCGGAGGGUACAGCAACGGUAUAAAGAAAAACACCAAUACUUUGCAGGUCAAGGAGGAACCGGCCAUUGGAGUAGUCUGUGGGGAUGAUUCGGCUGCGGAGCUUCAUUCCUGGAGUGAGCACCUGAGUAGGCAGGAUGGUAUCUGCUGGGUUAUUGAAGGUCCCCCACUUGGUAGAGCCAUCUGCAGCAGCCAGUACGAAGUUUCCGGUAUUGAGCAUGGCAGCGUAUACUGCACCCACAACUCUCGGAUUCCAUACCUCUGUUCCAGUGGGAUCCUGGAGCGAGAGCGCCCCAUUUGAGUUGAGCAGGAGCUGGGAACCGGAUGAAACAUGUACCAGCACUGGAUCUGGAUCAUUGGUCUUGGCAUACCAAACCACCGUCUUAUCACUGGUCUUGUCGAACCAGACAGCAAGCAGAUAGGAGGAGGUGUUACCCUCGAUGGGCCGGAAGCCGAACGCGAAGUCGCCAGACGGCGAGAGCCAAAAGCUGCUAGGCCCUUCAGGUGUCAAGGAGGAGCCUAAGGUUAUGUUCUGUUGAGCUUGAAGGGAAGUAGAGGACAGCAGCAGGAGCAAGGACAAGAGGAGGAGAGGUGCCAUGGUUCGUUUGAUUUGGCUCUCAGUUCUUACAUCUGACGGCAAACUUAUGCAUCUCUUGGUUUUCGGAGUCUUCGUUGACUUGGCUUGACAAUCGAUGGGUCAUCGGAACCAUCAUGUGGUGUAACAGUAGGCAGCUUUGAACUGGUCAAUCAUGGCAGUUGGCUGCUCCACGAGCAUGGGUCCUUGUCUGUGUGACUACUCUUUGCUAGACUUAUAGUGACUACAUUAUUGAAGUUUGAAAGUGUUCCAACGUGUUGGAAGUGUUCCAAGGUGCUCCUCUUCUGAGCCAAACUUUUCACAUGCCUGCAAGUUCUACAGAAGAGAAGACAUAUAUUUCGUAGGGUUGUACUGACGGUUGCGUGAAGGCAGGUCCCAAGUUCUUCUCUCGCCUAGAUACUUCCAGUUAUUCGUAAGUUUUUCAGAAGUAUAGUCAUGGUCACUACUUACUACCAGUCAAGCCAGCUGAAUUUAGUACGAGAUUAUACAUGUGGGAUCAUGCUACGUGCCUUAUUUCACUUAGACUGGUGAUCAGAUUGGAACAAGGAGGUUGAAAUUAUUCAAGAGGAAUGUUUGGUUACUUUUGGCCAGUUUCCUGGAUAUUUUUAUUAUGUGUUUCAUUGCGACAAAAGUUUAUUGGACGUUUCCGUGAAUUAGCUGUUUUGUGAAUUUUCUGUAGAACAUAAUAAGACAUUUAUUGAAGACUGAUAGUUUUCAUUGUUGUUUAUGAGCAGGAAUAAAUGGAGUCCACAAUUACUUGUCAGACAUUGACUGGGACGUUCAUUUUUCAUGGUUCUUGUGAUCUAGCUGGCCGGCCGGCCCGGCAGGAUUAACGCGCUGGCAGCUGAAAGGAACUUGUACCAGCACCCCGCGUUGCCUAGUCAACACGUUGUACCAUCAGAAGAGUGGUUUUCAGUGGUUCUGCUUCUGCCAACAGCGGCUGAAUGAAGCCUAUCCUAAUCUUAGGCUAUGGAGUCUGUUUAGCUCAGUUGUGGAUAUUGGUGUAUGUUAAAGCUACCUGAAUUUUAGUCGUCUUCGAUGCAAAUUUGGGUACACGUUUUUACCAAAAUGUAGCUACAGAUAUAGUAUGUGUUCGAUUUUUUUCAUUCUAGCUUUGGUUGGUUGUGGUUCCUCGUCAUCCUACAUUUGUUGCUCAUCUCUAUUUUUCGUCAAACCUCGGGUUGAUCGUAGUUCCUCUUCUAGGCGCUUCAUUUUUUUUUUUUUGGCUAACCAUGUGGUGAUGAUGACGUGGAUUCGCCUGGAGAAAUGUUUUAUCUUUUUUUGAAUGCUGAUGGUGGAUCCUCCGAGACUUCAAAUUGCACCUCAAUCUGAAAUGGAGAUUUCGACAGCCCCGAUUGCAUGUGACAUGUCUUCCACUAAAAAAGUGGACUUGCAUUUGGCCGAGUUUUUUCCACGUGGCUCGCUGGCAUGAAGGAACAAGUGAGCGGAAAGUACUAGAAGAAGGCAUUAUUUGAUUGUUCAUCUGGCUGCUGAAAAAAAAUUGAAGUGACACUGACAGGUGGGUCCCGUAGACACAUCCCCAGGGGGAAAAAGGGGAGAGAAAAUCCCACCGCAGGGCGCAGGCCACGCCUUCCGCUUGACCGCUUCCACUCCGCCAAGCGGCUGCCGGUGUGGUCUCUCUCCCCGGACGGUUCCGCCUCGCCCGCUUCAGCCAGCCGCUGCCAGGGGUCUCCGCAUCCGACUUCACCUCCGUGUCGACGCUGAUGGUUCUCCCCGUCAAGGUCAAGUGCCCCGCUUGGUGCCAAUGCCACUCAAUUUUGAUUGGUUUAAAUUGGUUCCAGAUUUGUUUUGUGGAAUGCCUAAGCGUAGCACCGUCUUUUUCUGUGUAAUCUGCUGCUAGUGAUUGCCAAUCAUGGUGUCCGAAAUCUGCGAUUGCACUUAGGGCCCGUUUGUUUGGAUUAGGGGGUAUUUCAUUGCAAUGCGUUUGUAUCUACUUCAGAACUCCCCAGAUAUGCUCAUGGUGCAUCCACCCGCGCAUUUUCCUGUAAUUUUCUGUUGCCAUGAAUCUCUUUCACUAAUUUGAAGGUACAAUUCGAAGGCAUUCAAUUUCGAUUAUUCACCAGCACACGCCUCGCACUGCUAGUGGGGGUAGACUGAUAUCAUAAACUUUUACCCGUAAAUGCAUAUAGUGGCAAAACUACCUGCCAUGAUUCCAGACGUACUCAAACAUAGUAGCAAUCGUCACUCGAUUUUAUUGAUGCAUUUCCCAUAUAUAAUAUUUUUUCCAUUUGUUUGUCAUGACUUUAAUUUGUUAUAUUUAGUCCUUCACGAAAUACAUGCCAUUUUCCAAUUUCUAAUGUAAAAGAUGUUUGGUUACAUAUACACAUCUGCACUUAUGGAUGAUUAGGAUUCAACUUUUUUUUCCAGCUAGACAUAUGAGUGCUAGGGUACCAUUGUUCCUAAUGCUUUAAUAAACAGCUAUGAGUCCCUUUAGGUGGCUGGUUUAAUUUGUGAACACGCCAGCUUAUUUCAGCAGCUGGUGGGAUCAAAGCUAGCUUAAACAUGCAACAAUAGUUAUCAUUAAGUAUUUACAGGCCAAAAUGGGCAAAAAGUUAUUUGUGUGUCUCAUUUAUUUAUCGGAAAAGGUCCAAUUUACUACGCAAAACUAAUUUUAUGGAAAUAAAUAUUCUUAAUUGCAAUGCUAAAGCCUUCCUAACAUUAUCUAUAGCCCAUUGCUGCCGAACGCAGGUACUGUUCACACAAUAAUAAUCAGCUUAAACAGUACUGCUGUAAAGUGGCCAUAGUGUUAAUAACAUUCAGUAUAUAUUCCCCUAACAAAAUAUCAUUCAGUAUAUAGCCAUAUCCAUUUUCUUACACCUCUAUGUUGGUUCAUACACAUAUUAAUGUUACAAUGUGCAGGAGGGAUGCCGGACACUAUGGAAGUGAUUGGACAAAGGAAGAAGAAUCAGGAGGAGUGGGGAUAGCAGCUGCUCCAUCAAGCAUUUGUGUCACCUUCAGCAUUGUAGGUCUCAUAGUAGGGUCCUCCUGGAGACACCACAAUGCCACAGCCACAUACCUUUCUACCUUCUUCAAAUCGAAAAUUGCUUCGUCAUCACCGUCAACCAGAAAAUCAACUCUGCCGCACCUAUAACAGUCAUUUGUCCAGUACGUCAGGAUUUUUUUAUCCUCUUCUGCCAUCUCAGACUCAACAUUUCGUCGACAACAGAUGAGCUCCAAAAGGAUGACACCAAAGCUGUAAACAUCCACCUUUGCAGUGAUACCAGUGCUCUUGAACCACUCAGGGGCAACGUAUCCUCGGGUACCCCGGAUCCCUGUAAUUGUUUGUGUCUGGUUAGUUCGGAGGAGUUUGGCUAAGCCGAAGUCUGAGAUCUUUGCUGUGAAGUUGCCAUCGAGAAGGAUGUUCUGGGGCUUUAUGUCACAAUGGAUAAUCUGUGUGCUGCAUUCCUCAUGUAAGUAUAGCAACCCCCUUGCCACUCCAAGAGCAAGCUGAGCUCGAAGGUUCCACUCAAGCCUGACAUCACCAAAUAGGAAUUGAUUGAGUGAUCCAUUGGUCAUGAAUUCAUACACCAAUAGUCUUUCUUUUCCUUCAUUGCAGAAUCCUAGCAACCUAACCAAGUUCUUGUGGUGCGUCCGUCCAAUUGUCUGGACUUCAACGGUGAACUCUUUCUCUGUUUCAUGCUCAAGCUUGUCAAUUUUCUUAACCGCAAUGUAAGUGCCGAGAUCAUCUUGUAACUGGCCCUUGUACACAAUACCAGAGGCACCAGUGCCAAGUACCUCCUGGAAUCCGCUGGUUGCCUUCUCAAGCUCAGCAUAAUUGAAGGCUUUCAGGGGCAAUCCUACAUUGUUUGACGACUGCACGGAUGGGAUUUCCUUUAUGGUGAUAGUACAGUAAGUACCGAAGAGUAUAACAGAGAUCAGGACAAUGUUCAGCAAGACAGAGCUUCCUAGAAACAAUGAACUUCCAAGGAUCCAGUGCUUCUUAUCUUUCUUCCAUCUGUUGGAAUCAAGAAGCUCAGGUUGUUGACUGUUGUUCUUUGGUACCUUGAUGUAAACUGUCCUCUGCACAGUAUCCCCUACAACGUUAUUUGUUAAAGGCAUCUUCUUCUUCCAACAUGUAUUGUCACUAUCACGAAACACAGCAACAGCACAUAAACAAUCCGUCAGGCAGAGCUGCUGGCACUGGUCGUUAGGUAUGUUGUCGUGCUGCUCAUAGUCACAUUGAGGCCAAUCCACAUUGCUCAUUGUUACGAACUUAAACUGCUCUGUGGCACCUGCUUCAUCGAAGUCACAACUUUGUGGCUGGAAAUCAGGCUUGCAGCCUUUACUCUCACCAAUAAAUGAGUACUGUGGGAGGCACACGCAGGUAGUCUGGUUGUUUAAGACAUCCACAUUGCUGUAACUGUUGAAACCGCACGUUCCACUGCUGACCUGUGUCUCUGCUGCUGACCUUCUUGGGACAUAUUUAUUUGUAGCUUUGAAGUCGACUACUGACCAUGCCUGAGUGUACAGGUUGCUGAACUUCUUGGGAUACAUAUAUUGCCGGAAAACACCAUCUGGAUCAAGUGUGGCACGAUGGUAGUAGUCCGCUGUGGAGCUGAUCUUCCCAGAUGUGAUUUUUAUUUGUGUUCCAUUAUCCAAGGUGAUGUAUAUCAUGCCAGUCACAUUGAAUACCAAAUUUGUGGUGUUCCCAGGCAUGGACCAAUUAUAUUCAUGUUGAGGACUGGAUGGCACAGCAACAGCAUAGAAGAAAACACCAUUAUUUUGCAGGUUAAGGUGGAACCGGCCAUUGGAGUAGUCUGUGGCAAUGAUCCGGCUGUGGAGCUUGGUUUCAGGGGUGAGCACCUGAGUGAGCAGAAUGGUAUCUGCUGGGUUAUCGAAGGUCCCCCACUUGGUAGAGCCAUCUGCUGCAGCCAGUAUGAAGUUUCCAGUAUCGAGCAUGGCAGCGUAGGCUGCACCCACAACUUGGGGAUUCCAUACCUCUGUGCCAGUAGGGUCCUGGAGUGAGAGAGCUCCAUUGGAGGUGAGCUGGAGGCAUGAACCGGAUGAAACUUGUACCAGUGAUGAAUCUGGAUCAGCGGUCCUGGCAUACCAUGCCACUGUCUUGUCACUGAUCUUGUUGAACCAGACGGUGAGCAAGUAGGAGGAGGUGUUGCCCUCGAUGGGCCGGAAGCCGAAGGCAAAGUCACCAUAAGAGGAGAGCCAAAAGCUGUUAGGCCCUUGGGGUGUUAAGGAGGAGCCCAAGGUGAUUUUCUGUUGAGCUUGCACAUAUGGUGAGGACAGUAGCAGGAGGAAGGGCAAGAGGAGGAGAGGCGCCAUUGAUUAUUAUUAUGGUUUGGCUGCCAUUUCUUGCUUCUGAUGGCAACUUAUAUAUCCUGUGGCAUCAAUGAGUCUUCGUUGACUUGACCUGACAGUUGAUGGGUCAUCAGUAACCUUCACGAGGGGUAACAGUAAGCAUCUUUGAACCAGUCAAUCGUGACAGUUGGCUGCUCCAGAUGCAUGGGAUUUGGUUUUGGAAGUUUGCAUGCGUUCUAUGGUGCUCCUUUUACGGUCAAGCUGGAUUUUUUUUCACAUGCUUGCGAGUUCAACAGUAGUGAAGACAGAUUUUUCUUGUGGUUACAUUGACGGUUGCGUGAAGGCAAGUGCACAAUGACUAUUUGUACAUAAGGUCCCAAAUUCUUACCUAUUCCCUGGAUGCGACCAGUUAUUAUUCUGCAGUUUUUCAGAAGAAGACUAAUGGUAACUACUUAAUAGUUACUACCAGACUAGCAGUCAAGCCAGCUGAAAUUAGUAUAAGAUUAUAUCAUGAGGGUCAUGGGAAGUUUCUGAUUUACCUAUUCCCUAGAGUACUAGCGAUCAGAUUGGAACGAGGAGGUUGAAAUUCUACAAGAGAAAAAUUUGGUUACUUUUGCCCAAUUUCCUGGAUAUUUCUAUUAUGUUUUUCGUUUCCGAGAAAUGCUUUCUAGAAGUUUCUGUGAAUACAUUGUUUUCUGAAUUUUCUUUGAACAUAUGCUGUCUUUAUAAGGCAUGUGUUUGAAGACUGAUAAUUUGUCGUUUGUUAAAUUUAUGAGCAGUGAAUGCAUUGUUUUCUGAAUUUUCUUUGAACAUAUGCUGUCUUUAUAAGGCAUGUGUCUGAAGAUUGAUAAUUUGUCGUUUGUUAAUUACUUGUGGAGCAUUGACUUAUUGUGACUUGCGAGUGAUCCAGCUGGGUGGCCUUGUUGGUGCUGGGGUUUGUACGAGCCACGUAUUAUUGAAUCCUAAUCGAUUCUUAUGGACCCAUGCUUUUUUAUUAACUAAAAUGUAGCUAUGAUUUCUCUUUUCCUUUUCCUAAACUUAGAUAGAUACUGUAGUUCCUCUCUUACAGUCUUAUUAUGCACUCCAUAUUCUUUUUGUAAUGGUGGAUCCUCCUAUGUAUAUGUUUCACCAAUUUAACUUGGUAAUGUUAGAUCGAUGCAGAGCUACUUUUGCAUCAUCAGUAAGCAAUACGUUUUCUCACUAAAGAAAUAAGUGGGCUUUAAUUUAAAGUGAACCUUUUAUACAGAGGUUUUGAUAUUAGAUGAACUUUUAUGAUGAUUAAUAUAACUAAAUUGAAAAAUCGAAGUGUUUUCUAAAAUUUUCAGAUACACAGGACCAGAAUUUUGAAAUAAUGAUUUUAGGUUUUGCUUCAACUAUAAAUCUAAAUUUUAAUAUUUUAUUUUGGAAGAAAAAGAAUACAAAUUAUUUGCCUCGAAGUUUCUUGUUUGUCUAGUUAACCUCCUAUUCUUUUAAUUAAGUUUAUUACCCCUUUAACUACUAAUAAAUAAAAGUAAAUAGUAUCUCUAGGGGCAUUUGGUACCUUCCCUGUGAAAGUAACACUUUUAGUUGAAAUUAUGCGAUGUAUGGGUGAUGGCAUCAUAUCCCAAACAAUGAUUUUAUUUCAUAGAUCAUAAUGACUGUUUGUAGAUAUGUAGAGCAUUCGGAACCACGAGUAUAAGAGAGAUUUUAGAGUGCUUGAAAAAAAAUAAGAGAGCUGUCUAUUAGAAAUCGAACCUUGGAAACAAAGGAAGUACCAUGAAGUACAUAAGUACCAAUUUGGUGGGACCAAGUAGCCAAAAUGGUAGGACCAACAAUCAAUUUAAUUUAUUUUUUUAUAAUUUAAAAAUUAAAGCACUGUAAAGAGCUUGUAUCUCCAAGUACCUCAUGGUACCUGAUGGUACUUUAAAUGCACUGUAAAAGAGCUUGUAUAAUAAUAUGAAAAAUCGCAUGGUGGUUGUAUAAAAAUGGAGAACUAAGUUAUGUUUUUGUGUUUUGGGGAGGUAGUUGCGCCCGUCCGAUGAGGAUCAAAUGUUGUGUGUCUCACUAAUCCAACUAUUUUUUUCGUGGUAGGUGUCAUGCCAAUCGACAUGAUACGCCUGUGGUAAAUACGUCAAUAUCAAAACAACUGGCCCAUUUUCCUAUAGACGUUCAUAGGACCGUGUAUGCACACGUGUGGUGAUGUAUGUGUGUGUGAGAGUAUAGGUUUGUACUAUGUUUCAAUGAACGAAUAACAGCAUAUGCUUUACAACAUAGAGAAUAAUGCCAUCAUAUGAUUUAACUUCUAUUUUAAUUACAAAAAUUAACCGUGGAUGAAGUGAUCCUUUUUUAAUAGUUUUGGGAGAUAAAAUCCAAAAGUAUUCCAGGAGAUAUCCGAGGAAUAUUAAAAAAAAUCAGAUGCCACGUGGCUACACCCCGUUCACCUCAUCUACCACGCAGCAGAUAGUGUUCUCGUGGGUCUUCCAUUUGUUUUGUUCCCCAUCGCAGUCUUCAGCUGCUGUGCGUGUGGGCGCUCCGGGAGGAAGGCCCAGAUGUGGAGGAAGAGGAGGAGGAUGAUAACGAAGAUGUCGUCUGGCAGCACAUAGCGGUGGCCUCGCUGGCUUCUCAGCAUCGAAGGAGUGGCUUUGCACGCUUGGACCUGGCCGUGAUCCUGCCAGCCAUCGCUCUGGCCCAUGGAGAGGGUCAUGGACUCAUGGAGGUGAUGGCCAUGCAUGGCAGAGCUGCUCAGGGCCAAAGGGGAGGAGCAGGAGAUGCUUGAGUGUCUCGUGCUCGUUUUGCUCCUGUCCUUGAUCCACGGAGGAGAUGCUUGCGGAUAGGUCCUAGGAGGACAUGCCAGCGACAAGGAAGCAGUUCUAUACUAUUGGGUUACAUAUUGCUCGUGUAAGUACAGUUCUAUACCGUUACCAUACAGCUCCAAUGCAGAUUUACAUAAAUGUUUUUUCACUAACUAUUUAUCUGCAAUGCAGAUUUGCAUAAAUUAUGGAAAAUGAAACUGCACUACCCUUUAUCUCCAGAUGUAGAGAGUUUACAGCUUCACUGAAAAAUGUAACAGCAAUUUGCUUGAAAAUUAUUCUUCUGAUGAUGCCAAAUCAAACGUACUUCCAAAUUACAAAUCAGAUAAAGUACAAACCAGUUAUAUAGCCAAAGUGUACAAUAUGGAUGUUCCUUCAGCUCAUUACCGACGCAUUUCAUCUUGGAACAGAUUAGACUGAUGCUGGCGGUGGAGCUGAAUAUGCUGAUUGAUUACCUUGAACAGACAGUACUAGAUAUGCACUGAAGAAAUUGUAAUCCAUGCAAGUUUCUACAGUCAUUGUACCUUCCAGUACCUUAACUACCGUUGACAUUGAUGGCCUUCGGCUGCUAUCAUUUUGUAAGCACCACAUUCCAAGCCUCAUCAUCUGAAUAACUUCAUCCUUGUGCAGGACCAUAUCAUCACAUUGCUUGUCAAUCAUAUCAAUCAGCAGGUUCUUUUGAGCCUUUUCUCGUAACAAAUUGAUCAGAUAGAUGCUUUCCUCAGGCUCAGAAUUGUCGAUGUUUUUUCUUCCACAUAUUACUUCCAUGACAACAACUCCAAAGCUGUAGAUAUCAACUUUUUCAGUGAUCUGCGACGUUAACCAUUCAGGUGCCAUAUACCCAGGUGUGCCUCUCAUCACAGUCACUACUUGGCUUUGAUCCCUGUCAAUGAGCUUGGAUAAUCCAAAAUCUGCCAAUUUAGCAUUGAAGUUCUCGUCUAACAAAAUAUUUUGUGGUUUGACGUCCAAAUGAGCAAUUUUCCGUCGACACUCCUCGUGAAGAUAACAUAGUCCCUUGGCAAUAUCCAGAAUGAUCCUACACCUGGUGCCCCAAUCAAGAGGGGCAUUAUUGUGGCGGUAAUAGAUCCACUGAUCAAGGGAACUUCUAGGCAUAUAUUCAUAUACUAGAAUUCUAUGUGCUUUCUCUACACAGAAUCCUAACAGUCUAACAAGAUUGAUGUGCUCAAUGCUACCAAUCGUCUCCACCUCUGCCAAGAAUUCUUUCUUCCCUUGUCUAGCACUUUCCAAGCAUUUCACUGCGACUCUGUCUUCAUUCAAUUUCCCUUCAAAAACUGAACCAAAUCCACCUUCCCCGAUCUUUUGACUGAAGUCUCUGGUGCAUUCUCUCAACUUUUCAUAAGAAAACCUCAUUGGCAUGCCCGACAAUUGAUCAACAUCAAAUUCUUCAGCUAUAUCUUGAUACUUCCUCCUUCGCACAUAAAGAGUGACAACAAUUAGAACAAAUACAAUACCUGUAAUACCGCUAAUUACAGCGCCCAAAAUUCCCUUCGUUUUGUUUGCUGUAGUUGCAGAAGGAGAGGGGUUAAGCUGUGGCUUGAGAUUAGAAGUGUUCCUUAGUACCUUGAUGAAAAGUGUCCUCUCCACAUUAUCUCCCAUCUUGCCAUUUGACAAAGGCAUCUUCUUCUUCCAACAUGUAUUAUCUUGGUCACGGAAGACAGCAACGGGACAAAAACAAUCUGCCAGACAGAGUUGCUGGCACCGAUCCUUAGUUAUGGGGCUGUACUCCUCAUGGUCAGCUAGAGGCCAAUCCACAUUGUUCAUCGGUAUCAUCUUAAACUGCAUACUGGCAGCUGCUUCAUCCAAGUCACAACUUUGUGGCUGGAAGUCAGGUUUGCAGCCUUUAUACUUCCUCUCCUCAUCAAUAAACGAGUACUGCUCUGGGCACAGGCAAAUACUCUGGUUGUUUGUGCCAUUGAACGUGCAGUAACUGUUAAACCCACAAAUGCCGCUUCCAUCAUUUGUCAGUUGUGAGUCACAGAUAUUUGGGGGCUUGAAGUCCACUACUGACCAUGGUUGACUACUCAGGUUGCUGAACUUCUUCGGGCACCGAUAUUGCCUGAACACACCAUCUGGGUCAAGUGUAGCACGAUGAUAGUAGUCUAACAUGGAACCGGUGACCCCAGAUGUCACACUGAUCUGUGUCCCGUUAUCCAAGAUGAUGUAUACCAUGCCAGUCGCAUUGAACACCAGCUUUGUGGUGUUCCCAGCCAUGGACCAGUAGUAGUCAUACAGGUUACCGGAGGGUACAGCAACGGUAUAAAGAAAAACACCAAUACUUUGCAGGUCAAGGAGAAACCGGCCACUGGAGUAGUCUGUGGGGAUGAUUCGGCUGCGGAGCUUCAUUCCUGGAGUGAGCACCUGAGUAGGCAGGAUGGUAUCUGCUGGGUUAUUGAAGGUCCCCCACUUGGUAGAGCCAUCUGCAGCAGCCAGUACGAAGUUUCCGGUAUUGAGCAUGGCAGCGUAUACUGCACCCACAACUCUCGGAUUCCAUACCUCUGUUCCAGUGGGAUCCUGGAGCGAGAGCGCCCCAUUUGAGUUGAGCAGGAGCUGGGAACCGGAUGAAACAUGUACCAGCGCUGGAUCUGGAUCAUUGGUCUUGGCAUACCAAACCACCGUCUUAUCACUGGUCUUGUCGAACCAGACAGCAAGCAGAUAGGAGGAGGUGUUACCCUCGAUGGGCCGGAAGCCGAACGCGAAGUCGCCAGACGGCGAGAGCCAAAAGCUGCUAGGCCCUUCAGGUGUCAAGGAGGAGCCUAAGGUUAUGUUCUGUUGAGCUUGAAGGGAAGUAGAGGACAGCAGCAGGAGCAAGGACAAGAGGAGGAGAGGUGCCAUGGUUCGUUUGAUUUGGCUCUCAGUUCUUACAUCUGAUGGCAAACUUAUGCAUCUCUUGGUUUUCGGAGUCUUCGUUGACUUGGCUUGACAAUCGAUGGGUCAUCGGAACCAUCACGUGGUGUAACAGUAGGCAGCUUUGAACUGGUAAAUCAUGGCAGUUGGCUGCUCCACGAGCAUGGGUCCUUGUCUGUGUGAGUACUCUUUGCUAGACUUUUUAUUGAAGUUUGGAAGUGUUCCAACUCGUGUUGGAAGUGUUCCAAAUUGCUCCUCUUGUCCAAGACAUCAAUUUCAAGUGCUAUUGUCGCUAAUCCAUUGAGUCUUUCUUGUGUCAUAGUAGAACACAAAUAAGAUUUCAACAACUUGAGUUUAGAAAAGCUCCUUUCUGCAGUUGUGACGGUUAUAGGAAUGGUUAACAAAAUUCUAUAUGCGAUAAGUGUAUUGGGAUAAAAGGGGCGCUUUUUCAAAAACUUCAAAAUAUCAAGAGAAUCCAUAGAUUAUUUAAGUAAAUCUUGGAUGACAGUGAAUUUUGCAAACAAUUCUUGACCAUCAAUGUCUUUAUGUUCUCCACUCUUAAGUGCGUUCUCAAGAUUGACAUAAGGAGCCAUCAAAUUAUUAUCAUCCAAGGAUCGCAGCCUAUCUGAAGUAAACAAGAAACUAAAAGUCUUUUCAUACCCUUGAUAUUGUUCAAAUCUCUUGGUGAGUGAAACUCUAGCUUGAUCAAUAACAUAUGUAAAAUAAUUGACCCAAAAUGACUCCUCCUCAGAUUGUGAAACAUUUGAUGCAUCAUCCGCGGCCUCAUCAAAAUAUCUUUUUCUUUUGAUUUUGCGCUUGGAAGUGAACUCUGGGUGAAUAUCCAUCUCCAUUGCAAUUUCUUUUGCAGCUUCCAAUGCUUUCGAAAAGCUAAUUUCUCUAUACUUCUUAAAAAAGCUAAUUAGUCCCUGUACAUACUCAAUUGCAAUAUCAAUAAGCAUAUCUUUUGAUUGUAGCUGCUUGUUGAUCAAAUUAACAACAGAUAAUAUUUCAUACCAGAUGAUUAUUGCCACUAAAAACUCAAAGCUACCAAGUUCAUUUUCCGCUAGCGAUUUAGCUUUGACGGAAUCAUCCAAAUUAACCUGACUAAAAUGCACUUAAGUCGCCUGACACGCGAGCAUGCACUUUAAGCAAGUCAACUCGGUCUUCUGUCGGAUUUUAUCCGAUAAACCACUUACUCAAGAUCGAGAAGCAUUACUCACAUGAAGAUAAGUGGGCACAGAGAUUACAACAUUUCCAUCACAUUAACAUAGUUCAACAAUUUAUUACAUCAGAGUUUAUGAAAUUUCAAGCAGAGUUUGCAAGGUUGUAAACAACGAAGAAGUAAAACAAGCGGAAGCUACGCAACGAUACACAAUACCAUGGUGAAGCCUACCAUGAUAUCCAUUUCAAUGAUCCACGCUGUCCGAGGACGGUUUCCACUCGACCGACCAACCUGGAGGGAGUUGGGUCGGCCAAGUCAAACUAGCAACCAUUUCCUCGAACUCAGCACUACCUUAAAACAUAGCCACAAGCAAGGCUGAGCAACUAGUAUUCAGCAAGACUGACCCCAUAGGUGAUAACUACUUCACCGACUCCUAGACAUGCAAGGCUUUUUGGCUGUGGGUUUGUUUUUGCCAAAAGCGCCUAAAGUUGGUCCUUACUUUCAAUACUUUAGCUCAAGUUCUAAGUUCAUUAACCAGUCUAGAUUAGAAACUUAUACUAAGCAAACAUAGUUUCCAAACAAUUAAAGGACAAGCAUCAAGAUUAAUAUCACCAUCAUGUUCCAUCUUUACUCAGUGCAGAAUAGCGAUCAAGCAGUCCCAAACUGUGAGGGGCAGAAGAAUUGAUUUGAAUUUAUUAACCAUGCAUGGUGAACCUAAUUCCACGACAUCCGAGCACCACGAAGGGUUGCUUCACUUGUCACCCGUCCCCAUCGAUCCCUUAGGCACGUGCCAGGUCCAAACUUCCUUUGGCAUGCAAUGCUCCAUAGUCCUAGCCUCUGCCGUACUGUGACCACACUUGCACCCACAUGAUGCACCAUGGGAACGACGUUCCAAGGACAACAGGAAUAUAAGACAUGCCCUAGUUCAAUCAGGUACUAGGCUUCCCUAUCCCAUACUAGGUAUGAGAUUAGUACUUUCAAACACUUGAUCAUGAAUGCCGACAUGUUUCGACCUUAGCAAGUUCAUUACUAGACAGACGGGGCAAACCACCACAUUGGAACCAUUCCCGGUCCCAUCCGUCAUCCUUAUAGUGGUAGUAUGAGUAAACAACAACUCCUAUAACUCGUGAGUGACAGGCAAUCACUCGACUUUUACCGAAUCCUAUUUAGCACAACAACUACUUGACUUUAACAACUAGUGUUCAGAUCAAGGUACUAAGGUAAUGCAUCUAAGGUGUCAUUAAACUCCUAUAAAUGUAAAUGCACAAUCAUAAGCAUCAACAUAUUGCAUAAUUUAAAAAAUAGGUAAGCAUGCACCGGGGCUUGCCUUCAGGUUCAGAGAAAGUUAGCGGAUCUUUGGGGUCUUGAUCUAGCUCGGGCUCAACUUCCGCGUGAUGUAGCUUUGCGGCGGGUUCCUCUUCCAGCGUAGGGUGGAGCUCGUAGGUUCCGUCGGCGAUAUUAGCUUCUACACGACAUGCACAUGCAGAAAGUUCAAAUUUUCCAUGCUUUCAUAUGAAGGAUGUAAUACAUGACUUAUUGCUGAAAUGAAAGUUGCAUUUCAACCACAUUCACCUAAACAAGGUCCUAAACUUUCAUUAUCUUCAUGAAGUAAGAUGUGUUGUGGUUUAAAACUCGGGGUUGACUUUGAUGGUGAUUGUGUUAUAUAUUUCACAACUUAGACUUCACAAGGAAGGUGGGGGUCGCUUUUAGGACUGUUUGGGGUUCAGUUGGAAAGUCAUUUAUUUCUGAAUGCUUUUAUGUACCUCUUCCAAAAAUUACCAAUUAAGUUUAUUUCUUUAUUCAUUUAAACCGAUUUCUCAUCCAAAAUUUGUUUCCACAACCAGCCAGUAACAUAUGACACUGAGAAAUUAGCAGCAUCUUGCUUAUCUCAUCAAUAAGUUAUUGUAAAAAUUUGGGAUCCAUUGGAUUAGUACAAAAAUAAUUAAAAUUAUUUUAUUAACCAAGGUUAGCAUGUACUUCACCAUUUUUAUCCCAAAACCUACAGUGAUUCUGAGGGUUAAACUUUAACAGUGGAUUGAAGGUGUGUUAGACUUUGGUGAAUUUUCAUGAUUUUUAGUGAAGGACAACUAUUUCUCACAUUUAUCUUCUAUUUAUCUUUCUUCAAAUAGAAAGGCGUGCCUCAACAAGUUACUUUUAGUGUUUCGUAUUUUUCCUAAGAACUAAUCCUCAAAACCAGGGUACUCCAAGUGGUUUCACAUUUUUCUCUGGCACAUUCCAUUACUUAUGCAAGAAGAAGGAUUUAGCCUUAGAUUUCAAAGAUAGGGUUAAAAUAGUGAUUUAAAGUACUGCUCCAUGGUCUUAACUAUUUUUCCAAGCCUCCAUACUCAGAAACAUACACCACAGAGUUGGAUUUAUCUUUUUAGCAUUUUUCUUUGAUUUACUAUGAUUUUAAAGGCCUAAGCAAGAAAUAAAACAUAAAACUAUAUUUCUAACAGUAACAUGUGCUAGAUCAUUUUUAAUAUGAAACUAGACAGUUCACUGAGCCCAACAAAAUUUAUUUGGCAUUUUUUUGAGUUUUCUAUGAUUUAUGGUGCAUUUACAAAUUGUAAUCUAUUUUCUGUCGAUUUAAAACAAUUAACCUAAACAAACUUACAAUCUAACACUUAUGUCUAUGGUUUAAUUGCGUAGGGGUCUUUAGUUCUUGCGCUAAAGCCCCUAGAAAAAGGUGGGAGACGUAGGGAGGCCCUUGCGGCGGCCGGCGGCGAGCUCGACUUGAUUGCGGCGAGUCCCGGGGUUAAUUGAGGGCAAGAACAAGAAUAGGUGGGGGAGGUGCGGGAGCUCACCGGGAAGCGAUUGGCGGCGGUUGGGGCAUCGGAGGGAGCUCGGCAGAGGCGGAAUGGCUUGGGGACGGGGAGCGGCUUCGGUGGCGGAGUCCCAGCGGAGUUUCGGUGACAGCGGGGCUUCGGGAGGGCAACAAGCUACUCGGGUAGGAGCGCGUGGUGGUGGCAGAGCUGGUGGUGGAGAUGGCGAGGCGCGGGGAGUGGUGGAGAUGGGUACUACACAGGAGGUGGCUCGGCGGCGUGAAGCAGAAAGCAGAGCAGAGGCGAGCUUGGGUGUGGGGAGCUUCGGGCGGCGCAUUGGUGCUAUUUAUAGCCACGGGGAGGGAGCAGGGGAGUGAGGCGAGGCUCCGGGCGUGGGUGGAUAAGAUCGGAGGGGUGCCGGUGGUGUGGCUGGUGUAUGGGGAUUGGGCGGACGCCAUUGGUGAUGGGCGCGGAAGCUUUGGGAUAGGAUCUUCGACUCACUGGACGCGGGCGAUUUGGGGCGCGGAGUAGCGGCUUUGGGGUGGAGGGAUUGACGAGCCAGGCACCGUCGAGUCGAUGUCGUGGUGGCGCAUUAGGUGGAGGCGUGGAGCCAGCGGGCAGCGGCGGCAUGGCGCAAGCGGAGGGGCGGAGCUUGGCGCGCGGUUGGGUGGAGGAGAUUGAGCGCAAGUGGGAGAGAUAGGCGUGCCGCUUGAUUGGGUAGCCGGAGCUCGCCGUCCUGUCAAGUCUGGGCUGGGGGUUGGCCGGCGGCGAGCUGCCGGUGAGCAGAGGCCACACGGCGGGUGGUGCACGGGCGAACGUGCGGGCGCGUUCUGGGCGCACGCUGGGCGGGGUGCGCCUCGGGCAGGCCAAAAGGGCCAGGUUUUGGGGGCCUUUUGCUCAAAACUUUUCAAAAGGACUCAUGAAACUCCAAAAGCAAAACAUGUAGCCCUAAUGUCCAGCUCAAAGUCUUACAAAAGGAUUUCACCCAAAAACUAAAUGGAUUUCAAGUUAAGAAGCUCCAAACAUCGAUAGAACGCGUUCGUCUUGGACCCGGGCAAAAUCAGGAACUGGACUGUUUUCAGGGAUUUUGGCCAGUUUCGGUGCAACUUUUGAGGGGUUUGGGAUUUGAAUUAGGCAAGAGUGUUAUUGAAGGAAUUGUUCGUUGGUCUUAGAACUUCAACUUCUAUUCAGGACUUUUCUUGAGUUUAGUUCAACUUUUAGGAGGAAUGGGCUCGUCAAGAUUUGCGCUUUGGACGUUCUUCCAGACUUAGCGCAGAAAUGCAUUUGCAUUGGUUUGACUAUUUUAAGUGACUUUGACCAAGCUUUUGAACAUGUUUGGUUGUGAAUUAGACUUGAGUCAGUAUAACAAAGUUUUAACACACUCACAGAACUACAACUUCUAUUAGGGGUCUGACUCGAGUUUAGGUUGCAAAGUUUUAACAAAGUUGAGGAAAAACAUGAAUUCCAGGACUUACGUCAUUUGUAGGAUUUUGGUGUACUCCUGAUUUGAUUUUUGUUUUUGACCUUCUCCUACUCCAAAUUAGCUAAAGUGUUAUUAAUAAAAGUUGUUUGAAAUCAAAAGGUUUACAACUUCUAUUUGGACAAAAUUCCAAGUUUGUAUAUAAAAUCUCAAGUUUCCUAUUUAACUCCAAAAAGAGCUUUUUAGGGGCAAAUUGGACAUUUCACUUCCUGUGCUUAGUGACUAAUGACUUUCUUAGGUUUAACUACACCUAAUUAAGGUAGAGUUGUUACAUUAGCUUCACUACUUUUCAGUGGGUCAUCAUCAGUUUCAGCCACCUGUUGUAAAGCCUCUCUUAAUUCUGGGAUCUGAAACCUUAUAGCCUUAACACUUUCAAGAUGACUCUCCCAACGAGUAGCUGACAAUGAUUUAAGAGUCAAUCCUGAUAUGUUAUCUUUUAGAAUUUUCCACCUUUUUGUAGAAUUAGCAAUUGUUGUAUACAUGCGUUGGAUAACUCCAAAAAAUUCUAUUCCUUUUCGACAAGACUUUGCCAUAUCACAAAGUAUCAAAUUCAUACUAUGAUAACCACAAGCUGAAUAAAAAGAUCUUGGAUUUAUAUCCAAUACUUUCUUGUGUACCCCUAUAUUUUCCCUUUCAUAUUUGAUCCAUUAUCAUAUCCCUAUCCUCUCAAAUUGUCUACAUCAAGAUCAAGAUUUUUCAAUUCCUCUAAUAGAAUAUCAAAUAAUCCUUGCCCAUGGUAUCAUUCACAUCCAAAAAAUCUAAGAAGGAUUCUUCGAUGCAAACGGAACCUGAAGAUGUAUCAACAUACAUUAUUAUCAAAGACAUCUGCUCUUGGUGGCUUGCAUCAGGAGUACAGGCAAGUAUAACUGAGAAGUACUUUGCUUCUUUUACCUUUGCAAAAAUUGCAGACCUAAUUGCAGAAGCUAACAAAUUUAUUAACUCAUUUUGGAUGGAAGGACCAAGAUAGUGAUCACGGAUUUUUUCAUUGGUGAUGCGGUCAAUGUGCUCUUUUAUAACUGGGUCAAAUUCAGCCAAUAUCUGAACCAAUCCUAAGAAAUUGCCAUUGUUGUCUUGAUACAACUUGCUAUUACUACCACGAAAUGCUAUAUUAUGUUAUGCGAGAAAUUUUACAAUCAAAAGAAUCCUGAGCAAAACUUUUCUCCAAUGCUCCCUUUCCUUUUCAAGUUCUCGCUGGGCAACAUUAUCAAUUGUUUGAUUCUUCUCCAACCUGAGACGGAAGUCAUAUCAUGAGGUCAUAUUUGUGACAUGUUCUCUACUAAUUUCGUGCUCCUUAAACCUAUGGCUAAGAUGAGACCAGUCAUUGGACCCCUUGUUUGCUAACUGACCUCUCACAAGGCCCUUCCUCAAUAAUUUGCAGCAAAAACAAAAUACCUUGUCAAGUUCUUUGCUAUACACAAGCCAUUCUCUCUCACACUUUUCUCCAUUCGAGAGAACUCUACUAUACGAUAGUGCUGAAAAUCUUCUGGAGAACUUGUCUCUAGGACCAUGCUCAAUGGACAAGUCUCUUUUAGGACCCUUUUCCAGCAAAAUAUCGAUCAUUUUAGGAUCGAGUGCAUCCCAAGUUCUUGGAUCAAAGAUAUCAGGCUGGAAAGAAUUAUCAAUGCCAGCGCCAAUAUUAGCAUCAUUACCUCUAUCGCCAUCGGCAAUAUUAGCCUCGUUACCUCCAUCGCCAUCGCCAUCAUGUUCUUCUUUGCCUGUAUUACCGUGGCCUUCAUCAACAUUAGGUUCUUCUUUGCCUGUAUUACCGUGGCCUUCAUCAACAUUAGCUUCUGUAAUUUAGGAGUCUCAACCUCUAUUGCAUCAUCACCAUGACCACGACCUUCACCAACAUUAGCUUCUGGAGUUUCUCUGACAACAAAUCUAUCAAGUGCACCCUUUUGUGAUUGAGCAAAAGCUUCUGGUCUUUGUUUCUUCUUACGCUUUUCAGCACUAGAUUCAUACUUUCUAAUUCUUAUAGUAGACAUAGGAUACCAACAUCUGUUCCAUAAACCAAACAAAAAUAUUUGAAUUAAAUCAAAUAGCACAUGUACAUGUGCAAGAAAUAGCAGUUUUGUUUAGAUUCAAUUUAGGAAGACAGGAAGUCAGGAACCGAUGGAAAUUGGAUUGCAUUACAAAACUGACCUGCCGCCUGCCUGCCGCGGUGCGCCCUCCUGCCGACGGGAAUGGGAGCGGGAUCAAGGAAACGUUCAGAGGAUGAGGAAUACGAACUGCUGACGGUGCCCUCCUGCCCUCGAGUUUGUGACGGGAGAAGCGGAAGGGUCUACGACGAUUCUGUUGCCGCGGCGGAAUGUGUCGGAUGCAGAACAGGACUCGCGAGUUCAUGAGUUUGUGUCCCAGACGAUUCAGUACCAGGCUUGUGCAGUUGGGCUGUUAAAAUUUAGGAGCCCAUCAUUUCUGAGGCCGUGCUCGGUUGCCCACCUCGCUCUUGGCCUUCGACGGGCCUGCUUUAUACUUCGUCUCCUCAUCAAUGAACGAGUACUGCUCUGGGCACAGGCAAAUACUCUGGUUGUUUGUGCCAUUGAACGUGCAGUAACUCUUAAACCCACAAAUGCCGCUUCCAUCAUUUGUCAGUUGUGCGUCAGAGAUAUUGGGGGGCUUGAAGUCCACUACCACUGACCAUGCUUGACUACUCAGGUUGCUGACCUUCUUCAGGCACCGAUAUUGCCUGAACACACCAUUUGGGUCAAGUGUAGCACGAUGAUAGUAGUCUAACAUGGAACCGGUGACCCCAGAUGUCACACUGAUCUGUGUUCCGUUAUCCAAGGUGAUGUAUACCAUGCCAGUCGCAUUGAACACCAGCUUUGUGGUGUUCCCAGCCAUGGACCGGUAGUAGUCAUACAGGUUACCGGAGGGUACAACAACGGUAUUAAGAAAAACACCAAUACUUUACAGGUUAAGGAGGAACCGACCAUUGGAGUAGUCUGUGGGGAUGAUUCGGCUGCGGAGCUUCAUUCCUGGAGUGAGCACCUGAGUAGGCACGAUGGUAUCUGCAGGGUUUUUUGAAGCUCCCCUAUUUGGUAGAGCCAUCUGCAGCAAGCAGCACAAAAUUUCCAGCAUCGAGCAUGGCAGCGUAUACUGCACCUACAACUUGCGGAUUCCAUACCUCUGUUCCAGUGGAAUCCUGGAGCGAGAGCGCCCCAUUUGAGUUGAGAAGGAGCUGGGAACCGGAUGAAACUUGUACCAGGGCUGGAUUUGGAUCAUUAGUCUUGGCAUACUAAACAACCGUCUUAUCACUGGUCUUUCUGAACCAGAUAGCAAGCAGAUAGGAGGAGGCAUUACCCUCGAUGAACCGGAAGCCGAACGUGAAGUCGCCGGAUGGCGAGAGCCAAAAGCUGCGAGGCCCUUCAGGUGUCCUGGAGGAGCCUAAGGUUGUUUUCUGUUGAGCUUGAAGAGAAGUAGAGGACAGCAGCAGGAGCAAGAACAAGAGGAGGAGAGGUGACAUGGUUCGUUUGAUUUAAUUUGGCCCUCAGUUCUUGCAUCCGAUGGCAAACUUAUGCAUCUCUUGUUUUUUUGAGUCUUCGUUGACUUGACUUGACAAUGGAUGGGUCAUCGGCAUGUGGUGUAAUAGUAGGCAGCUUUGAACUAGUCAAUCAUGGUAGUUGGCUGCUCCACGAGCAUGGAUCCUUGUUUGUGUGACUACUCCUUGCUCGACUUAUAGCAUAGUUGUUAGGGCUUUGCGGCGAGUCGUGGCGACUGGCGAGCCCAAGUGGUCUGGACGGCUAGGUGCCUAUGCGCUCGCCUAGGCGACAAUUAGACGGUGAAAACAUAUAAUCGCACUUUUGACUAGGAAUUCAACAUAUGUCGUCACAUUGUAAGAGAUAAUAUUGUUGGCUGUAUCCAAUAGUUGAUACAAAUGAAUUUUAACACCAUACAUUCCUUUACCAUCAUUCAUAUUGUCACUGUGAAGGGCAUAGGCCAGCAGGCUUAACCACAGAUAGCCUGACAUAACAUAGUACGCAUAUAGUUAGUGCACUACUAGUUCUGCGUUAAAUGUGUAAUUGUCUAGUUAACAAUAGCAAAUCAACUAGGUGUUUCUAACAGCAACAAGCUGAUAGCUGAACAAAAGGUAAACCGCUGGCACUGCACCAUCUCAAAGUCCAACUCUAUGUUUCUGUCAUUGUUGUCAACGUAUCACUCAUCAUCUAAGACAAAGGCAUCCAUCUUCCUUUCAGCGUCAAUGUUUCCAUCAUCUGAUCCAUGAAUAUCGUCGGCUUGCAGGCCUUAUAGUCAUCUUCCACAUCCUCGUCAUCACACACAAAGACUUCUUCCUCUUGGCUUUUUGUAUUGUUGGGGCUUCUUUCAGCAGAAGCAGCAGAAGAAUCUUGGACAUCAUUUGACAUAGCAUUUCUGUCAACAUGAGACCGAAUAAACAUACAGUUGUCACGAGAGCUCUCCUUGGAAGGUUGCGUCCUUGGAGUGUGCUUGAUGUGCCAGUGGCCUCUUCGACAUUGGCCCCAACAGUAGCAUUCUUGCCGACCCACUCACUUUCCCACUGGAAUCCUUCAAGGAUCAAAGGAUUGGCAUUCCUGCCCUCACGACGAACCUGAUGAAAUCUGGCUUCAAUCUUGUUGUUAUAUUGGACAUACACCAAAUCAUUUACCUGCUGAUGCUCAAUAAGUCGAUUCCGUUUCUUUGAAUGAAUCUGAAAAGAAAAAAAAGGCAGCCACAUUUAGUAGGCCAAAAUGCACAUUUCCAUCCUGGGUCAUUUGACUUGGCCCUCCUCUUCGGAUUGUCCAUUGGGUCUGAAAGAGCAUCUAGGUUCCUAAUUCAAUUUUGGCGAUUAAUGAAAACAUGAUCAUUGCGACUAACAUGUGUUUUACAACGGUAUUCAUUAAGUUAGUGCAAUGAUGGGUUUUCAUGGUAGUCUUGGCCACAAUCAUGUGAGUGAAAUUGUAUAGGUUCAAAGGAUAAGCGAGAAGACUAAGGACAAGCUAGUUCCAAGUGUCGUUUGGCGUUGAGAGAUACUUGAAUUAGUAUAUGUCUUUUAUUUUCCUUGGGCCAUACUAUAAGGGGGGCAAAGAGUAGUAGCUUGACCUAGGUGAGUACUUGAGUUGAGUGGAUGCACAUUUGUGAAACAAGGCACUAGUAAGCUUAGUUGAAGCCCAUGGAUAUGAAGAAGUGGUGGAACUCCAAAGAAGUUGAAUUGGAUGAGAUACACACAUUGAAUAUGCAAAGUAGGGUGUCACCGACUGAUUCGAUGACCACUACUGAGUGUCACCGAAUCGGUGACUGCAGUGUGUGUGUGCAGAGGGAUGGACAGGAUCAUAGAUUGAUUCGAGGCUAUAGAGGGCCCUCAGCGUAUAAGUUGAUGAGUAGUGGUUGCGCCAGCAUUGCCUGUGUGUGACUGUGUCGACCGAUUGAUUCGGUGGGUGCCUUUGUGCCCCACCGAAUGAGUUGGUGUGAUCGGCUCCGCUUGCGAUAGGCUUAAAAUCGGCUCUGGAAGUUUUUGAAAUUAUUUGAGGCCUCAAUGAUUGUUACUGUGGCCGAAUUAGUCGAUGAUGUGUCAGUAAUAACCGAUUGAUACGGUGCUCACUUGGGACCAUCACUGAAUCAGUUGGUGAUGGGAUUUUCUGUGCAUGUGAAGGCAACGGCUAGUUUCUUGCCUUGGCCUAUAAAUACACCUUGGGCUGGUUCAUUUCAACUCUCUUGACACUCAGGGAAGCUAAUAAACAAUUUGGAGGUCAAGGAUGAGUUGAGCACUAGAAGUGACUUGAGAAGUUCUUAAUUGAAGAUUAAGGACAUCAUUAGUGCUUGGAGAGUAGCAUAGUGUGCAUCCAUCCAUCUCUUUGACUUGUGUAGGUCAAGUGAGAGUCUUUGCUUGUUACUCUUUGUGAUCGGCAUCACCUAGACGGUUUGUUGGUGGUGUUCUUGGUGAGCUCUCAAGGAGGUGACUUGUGAGAAGCCCCGAGAAGUGUUGUGCUUUGUUUGGAAUCUGCCAAUCCGGAGUGGAGAAUGGAUUACAUCUAGUGAGCACUUGAUCCUUGCGCGGAUCAAGGGGGAGAUAUACCCUUGCCGGGUGCUCCAACGAGGAUUAGGGGAGAGUGCCAACACUUCGAUACCUCAGGAAAAAAUUGGCGUUCUAACCCUCUCUUACCUUCCACACCUAAAUUCCGCAUUUACUUUCCACAUUUUAAUUUCUAGAAUUGUCAUGCUAGUGUAGGAUUGGAACUAGGUUGUAGACCUUUGUGCAAAUAGAAUAGACACACAUGUUAAGGUUGAAGGUACAUGGGAUGAUUAGGGUUGUUGUUAGGUUUUAAUUUUCACAAAAAAUUGUAGAAGCCUAAUUCAACCACCUAGGCAUCUUGAUCCUUCCACUAAUUCAACCACCUAGGCAUCUUGAUCCUUUCAAUUAGUAUCGGAGCCUCAUUCUCAAUUGGAUAGGCUUCACUGCCUAGAGCAAGAUGUCUGGGGAUAGACCCCCUCCAAUGUUCGAUGGCGACGAUUUUUCCAAUUGGAAGAUUCGUAUGGAGGCUUGCCUAGAUGCCAUCAACAAUGGAGUCUAUAGGGCCUCCGUACAUGGUUCCCUGCAUUGCAUACAAUGCUAAUCCCACCGCUGCCAAAUCCAACUAUGAAAAGUAGAAUGCCAAACUCAUAACACCCUUUUCCAUGGCAUUAGCAAGGAAGUGUUCAAUAGGGUGCGCACGCACAAGGAUGCUCAUGAGCUUUGGAAAAAAUUGUUGGAAAUGCAUGAGGGAUCCAAGGAUGAGAGAGAGAGGAGUGUUAGAAAGUUGUCAUGGAUAAAAUCAAUGGUUUUAAAAUGCUUCCUCCUGAAAAUGCUAAUUAAAUAUUCUCACGUUUGAAUGUUCUCCUAAAGGAGCUCAAUGACCUUAGGCAUCGCCAAGAUGGAGGAGAUUGAAAUCAUAAGAAGAAUACUUAGCAUUCUCUCCAAGGAAAAGUACUCCAACAUCGUCACCUACUUCCAUCAAGUUGACCUUGAGAAGGUACGAGAUUGCCAAGAUCUCGGGGAAGAUUAGUGACCAUGAGAUGUACAUGGGCAACACAAAUCAAGAAGGUGCUGCUUCCUCCAAGAAGAAUGAUAUUGCACUCAAGGCAACCAAGAGAAGAAAGCUCACAUAAAAAAGGAAGCAAGUGAGGAUGAAGGAGGAGCCUAACGUUAUGUUUUGUUGAGCUUGAAGAGAAGUAGAGGACAGGAGCAGGAGCAAGGGCAAGAGGAGAAGAGGUGCCAUGGUUUGUUUGAUUUGGCUCUUAGUUCUUACAUCUGAUGGUAAACUUUUACAUCUCUUGGUUUUUGGGGCCUACUUGACUUGACUGUCGAUGGGUCAUCGAAACCAUCAUGUGGUGUAACAGUAGGCAGCUUUGAACUGCUUAAUCAUAUCAUGGUAGUUUGGCUGCUCCAUGAGCAUGGGUCCUUGUCUGUGUGACUACUCCUUGCUGGACUUGUACCGUCAGAAGAAAGGUGAUUUGUCACACUAGUUCUGUUGUUGCAUGUUCAGUGGUUCUGCUUCUGCCAUCAGCGGUUGAGUGAAGCCUAUCCUAACCUUAGGCUCUAUGAAGGUAUGUUUAGCUCAGUUGUGUAUAUUGAAUUUGCCUGAAUUUUAGUCCUCCUCUUCUACACACAUUUGGGUACAUGUUUUUAUCCAUAUACCAAAAUGUAGCAACAUCUAUAUGUGUUUGAUUUUUUAUUCUACCUUUGGUGGGUUGUUGUUUUCUUCCACCUACAUUUGUCUCCUCUUUUAUUUUUCCGACAAACCUUGAGUUGAUUGUAGUUCCUCUUCUACGCACUUCAUAUUUUUUUCUCCUAACCUUUUGGCGAUGGUGACAUGGAUCCUCUUCAUAUUUUGUUGGAAUUUUGUGCUGAUGGUGGAUCCUCCUAGAAUUCAAAAUUACACUUCAAUCUGAAAUGGAGAUCGAUUUCAGCAGCCCCAGUUGCAUGUGACAUGUUUUCCACUAAACAAAGUGGACUUGUAUCAUUACUUUUACACCGAGUUUUUCCCACAUCACUCGCUGGCAUGAUGGAACAAGUGAGUUGAAAGUAGAAGAAGCACCGGACAUCAUUUGAUCGUUUCAUCUGGCUGCUGGAAAAAGGCACCGCAGGUCAUGCCUUCAAGGCUUGUUUGGUUUUGAUCCUUCCAAGAGCUCAUUUUCAUCUCUCUAAGUGCGCAAAGGAUUUCAGCCUGACCCAUUUUACCCACGAGCCGGCACCCCACCAGAUCCAGGUCCACUGGAGUCCACAACAAUAAGGUAUCGAGCCUAACUCAACCUAAAAGAUGAGCUUGGGUGGGGGCUGCCCCCACCUAUAUGUUGUGCUCCCCAACCAUCAAUUUUUGACGUGUGGGACUAAACCUAACCAAUCUCCCCCAUCACACAUCGGGCCCAACUCUUCCAUCACAAGCAAUCCAUGUGAUCUCCGGAAGACGUUAUCCCAGGCCCCGAGUCCAACUCUCCAGUCACAACUCAACCUGUGUGAUCCUCCGAAGACGUUCACAAGCUCCCCCGUCAUCAUUUGACCUAGGUGUUCCAGAUUUUUGACCUUUUUAGCCCUGAUACCACUUGGUAGAGUGUGCAGCAAAUUCCAGCUCGGCCCUCUAUACCCACGGUCCACCGAAGCCCACAACAACAAGGCCUCGGGCCUAACUCAACAUAAAAGACUAGCCUGUUGGGUGAGGGCUGCCCCCACCUAUAUGUUGUGCUCCCCCACCAUCAAUUUUCGAUGUAGGACUAAACCUAACAUCCUUCCAUGCUGGAUCGCUGCUUGGGCACAACUGCCUAGCUCAGCUGUGUAUACUCUAUGAGAGGUAUUUAGAUGUUUGUAAUUUGCCACAUGGACGAGAAAGACUAAUGUUAUUGGUACCUUGAACAUGUUGCAGUGUUCAUUUUGCGAUUGAUUUUUUCCAACACCUCUUACAUGAAAAGCUUGCUUAAAUAGAAUUUUAUGUUAAAUUGUAGGAUUUUUAUGAACAUAUGAAUGAACAUUGAGAUCUUUAUGCACACUAUACAGAGGAAAUAAGAUCUAUAUAUAUUGAACAUGAAUUUUUCAUGAAUUCUAGUGUUUUGACAUGUCAUCCAUGCCCCCUAUCACUACACUACUCAAGUCAACAGUAGGUUUCUUAAACCACCUGACUGCUUUAGGUUCGUGACCUUACCUCAAACCUGCUAUCUCUUCUAACUACCUAACUUAAUCUCUGCAUCCAUGUUCGCUUCCACUCUUAUUCCAGGUUGAUGAAAGUACAACUCAAAACUAUUCCUACAAUCAUACUCCUUUCUUUCCAAAUUGCUCGCUUGUCUUACUCCCCUUUGAGUCUGAUUUUUGGGGAGUGCCCAAAAGUUUUUAUCUUGGUGCAAAUUUUUGUAACUACGUAGUUUUGUAGCUAGGAGCACAAAGUUUAUAAUGCGAUAGUAUAAAGUUCCUAAUUCUAGAACGCAAAGUUUUGCACCAAGGAGUGUAAUGUUUUGCAACGCCCUAGCAGUAAGUUUUCUUAUUCAGAGUGUAAAGUUUUAAAAUAACAAAGUAUAUAUACAGGAUCACAAUUUUUUCAAAGAAUUAAUAUGGUUUUGUAAAUAUAAUGUCCCCAACAUAUCAUUUGAUAGCUGGUUGUGGGGAAACUUCUCUUCUAUAAAGUAUCGGAUCUAUGAGGCACAAAGUACUGGAUAUGUGAUUACAAAGUUUUAGACUAGGAGUAAGAAGUUUUAAAUACCCUACCACAAAGCUGUAGGGUUUUGGUAGUGCAAAGUUUUUGGAAUUACAGAGUUAUUUAGCGCAAAGUUUAUCUUGUGGUAGUAUAAAAUUCCCAAAUCCAGAGCACAGAGUUUGGAAUUACAAAGCUUUUGCAUCUACAAGUGUAAAGUUUGAAAUGCAACUGUAUUAAGUUUUCUUAUUUACAAUGCACAAAGUUUUAUAUGCAGGAGUGCAAUUUUUAAAACGUGUCUGUAGGAAGUUUUCAGUAUCCAUGCUGAAAUCUUGUUUUCACUUCCAAGUUGUAUAUAUAAAAUCUUGAAUUUAUGAAUUUGGAAGCAAUAACUAAAUUCCAGUAGAAAAGACUUCUUACCUACAACUUAAAAGUUUUUCCAUUUCGAUUUUGUCAUAGAUCAUUCUUUUGGGUAGGCUGCAUAAUUUUUUUUGCAGUGAUAGGACCAUUGGAGUAAGGAUAAGUUGCAUAAUAUUUUCGCAAAUUUUCAUUUUCCCUAUGCUUAGAUAUGUGUAUUACUAGUCAAUUGUAAAAGGGGGUCAGAACAAAGUUUCUACAUUUGGGGCUACAAAGUUAAGAUAUGCUACUACAAAGUUUCUAAAUUUAGAGUAGAAAGUUUGGAACUAAAAAGUUUUGAAGCUGGGAAAUACAAAGAUUAUAAUGUGCUUGUACAAAGUUCCUAAAUUUGGAGUUCAAAGUUUUAGAUGAUAAAGGAUUCAAGAGUAAAAUGUCCCAGUAUAAGGUUUUUGGCUUUUUUGUGAGUGAAGAACUGUAUGUCUAAAGUUCUUAUUUAACUUGUAGAAAGUCUUUCACUAUAAAUUUUUGUAUUUGAAAUUACAAAGUUUAAGGUAUGAUAGUACAAAGUUUUCUAAAUUUAGAGUGCAAAGUUUGGAAUUAAAAUUUUCAAACUGAGAAUACAAAGCCUUUUAAUGUGCUAGUUGAAAGUUCCUAAAUUUGGGGUUCAAAGUUUUAGAUCAUAAAAUUUUGGAUCUAAGAGUAAGACAUUUCAAAUUUUCUAUUGCAAAUUUCUUGAUUUGGAAGUUUUUUUAGAUUUUUGAGUGUAUUUUUCUUCAUAUUUGCUUGACCUCAAAGUUUUUUGAUUCCUAAUUUAGAGUUUUAAGUGCUUGGACAAAUUUUUCUCACUCUUUUUACAAGAUGAAGUUUAUAUCAAUGCGAAUGCAGUCAAAGUUUAUAUUCAUAAUUUAAGAGUUUCCAACAUUUGAGUAUAAUAUUUUUUAUAUUUGAAAGUUUUUAACUUAGUGGUAGGUAGUUUUUUUUAAUUUUAAGUUUCUUCUCUACUAUUACAGAGUUAUAGAGUUUCAUAAUUGGCAAUUCAAAAUUUUCAAUAUGACUAUAUUAAGCUUCCGAUUUCUUUUAAUUCUAAUGUGUUUUCUUCAGAGUAUCAAAGUUGAUUUCUAUCACUGAAGAUGCACCUUUUUGUUGCUAAAAAUCAUGAUGAUGCUUUGUGCUGAAGAUGGACAAGCAUUUAUAACAUGAACGAAUUGUCCAGUCUUCUUUUUCGAGGAUCAGUCAUUUCUCCUCCUGUACUGUUCCUCCUGUACUGUUCUACAUUUAUAUGUAUGUCAAACAAUCCCUCAGACCAUUAACUCACCCACACACCCGCUAUUCCGAAACAGAAAUCACGAGAACUGAGAAAUAGGAAGAAACUUGACGUAGAGAGAACCAGACAAGUACAGAGAAGCCUAAUCAGGGAUAGGGAACCAGAAAAGACAGCUAGUGAUAGUGACAUAUGCAUGCCAGUUAAAAACCACGACCAACUACUGACUGCCAAUGCCCGUUCAUCGCAACUGUCGCGCGGUGAACGAUCGCUCGCUAAUGACAUGUACAUGGAACAUUUAUUCUAGUAAGUCCUAUAGGAAGGGGGAGGGGAGGCGGGGGGAGGGAGGAGAGGGAGGGAGGAGGAGGGGAGGUGGCCAGCGGAGGGCAGGAGAGGGAGAGGAUAGGGAGAUGGUCAGGUGGAUAAGGUGCCGGGCAGAGGGAAAGGAAUGGGUGGGUGGAAGACCGGAGAGAGAAAGGGGCUGGUGGGUAGAUACGGUGCCGGACGGAUGCGAGCUGUGCUCCAAAACUUAUUUGAACAAAAAAUUCAGGUACAGACUCCUCUUUUCACUACCGGACAGUGGGAGGGCUCGGCGGUGAUGCUAGUUUUCACUACCUGUUAUGUGUUGUACCACGAUUACAUGAUUGACUUUCAUUCAGGUUUCUAUGCCGGAUUCUCUUAAACUGGUAGUGAUAGCUCGGCUCGGAUGGCUCAUUCUGAAGUAGUGUAUCCUACUAUUCCACGUUGGUUGUAGAGUCUGGAUUGAUUGUGAUUGCAUUGUCGAAGUCUGAAACUCUUCAAAGGUCAUCGUUCCUUUUCUUAUCAAACCUAAAUUUUAACAUCUUACAAGAUUUGGCACAAGAGAAGCUUUCUAUUUCCGAUUAAAAUGGCAUGAAGGUAGAUGCGUGUGUUGGAUAUUAUUGUGAUCUCAACAUAACAACUCAGAUUACACCUCACAUACGUGUCCCACCUACGUUGUAUGUGAUUAGGACUCAGGUGCUAUAAUUGGCAAGCACACCAAAGUGUAACCAACUAGGACUCGGCCCCCAUCCCACAAUGCUAUCUAUCUAUCUAUCUAUCUAUCUAUCUAUCUAUCUAUCUAUCUAUCUAUCUAUCUAUCUAUCUAUCUAUCUAUCUAUAACACACCUGGGUGCAUCCUGUAUGUAGAAUGCACCCAGGUCGGUGGGCGCACCAGGUUGCAGCAACUAGCGCACCCAACCAAACAUGUGGUGCAUGCUUCCUAAGUUAAUUUAUAUCUUCCACCUACCACAUAAACCCACCUAGCAUACAAAUCCCACCAGACUGCAUGCAUACAUGCAUGGAAUCUUUUGUUGGUUCGAAUCUUUGAAACAAAUUUUCUCCUAAACCAUAACCCCGAUUGCCAAACCGUUUGUUGCAUCCGACUCAAAAAAAUAUGCUUAAUAAAACUAGAUCCAAUACGGAUAUUUUUUUUAAUCAUUUAAGCGAGUUGCAUAUCAAUGUAGUACCAGUUGCAACUAGUUAUAACCCUAUGUAUUAUAUGCAUCAAGUCAAUAUGAUUGCAAUUAUGAGUUGCAAUCGUACCUUGUUACAACCAGAGUACCAACCGUGUUGCAACCGAGUAGUAACUAGUUACAAUUAGUAGUAAUUGGUUGCAAUUGGGUAGUAAUUGGUUACAAUUCUAUUAAGUAGGAAGCAUAUCUGGGUGCAAUUAGAGUAGCAAUUUGGUUGCAACUGAGUAUUAAAUAAUUGUAACCAUAAGUAACAAGUGCUAAAUAGGCUACAAUCAAGUUGCAAUUGGGUUGCAGAUGUUCUUGCAACUCAUAGUACAACUUACUUGCAAUUACAUACUUAAAAAAAACUUCAUCAAAUAUAGCCUUCAUGGAUCUCGUUGUAUUAAGCAUAUUUUUUCCAACAACCUGUUUCAAACGGAUCUAAAAUCGGAUCUACGGUUUAGGAGAUAUCGUAUUUUUUUCGAAUCAAGAAAAGAUUCCAUGCGUGCAUGCUUCUUGGUGGGUGGGUUGAGCUAUGAGGUGGCAUCACGUGGUUGGUUGUCAAGUUGCAAUUGGGUUGCAGACGUUCUUGCAACUCAAAGUACAACUUAGUUGCAAUUAUAUAUUUUAAAAAACUUCAUCAAAUAUAGCCUUUCAUGGAUUUCAUUGUGUUAAGCAUAUUUUUUCCAACAAUCUGCUUCACACAGAUCUAAAAUCGGACUUGCGGUUUAGGGGAUAUCACAUUUUUUCAAUUAGAAUCAAGAAAAGAUUCCCUACAUGCAUGCUUCCUGGUGGGUGGGUUGAGUUUUGAGGUGGCAUCACGUGGUUAGUUCUCUCCAUUUAGUUUUGCAUGCAGGAGCGUGGGAUUUCCUUGGCGUGCGAAUUAGCUGGCGCGAGGGACGUAGGGUGGCGAUAUGUGCAUUUGCUGUACAGAAUGCACCUGGGUGCAUUUUAGCCUCAUCCUAUAACUGCUUGCAACAAGUAUUGAUUGCGUAGUAAUGAGUUACAACCAGUAUUAACUGGGCUUGCAACCGGAUAGUAACUGAGUUGUAACUAAUUGCAUCGAUUGCUUGACCUUGUUCAGGUGUCCCUUCAGCUUCUGCAGCUCAGCGGUAGUCUCUUGAAGCUCCGUGUUAGCUUUUGUGCAUUCUUCCUUCCACAUCAUUGCUUCGUUUUUAGCUUUCAGAUUCCUAUUACCAUUUCUAAUUUUUAGAUGAGGCAUGAAUGCAUCGUGUCUAAUUUUCUUCCUUGUGUUCAUCAGCUCAAGGGUGGUCUCCCUAAAGUAUCGAUUCACCUUCUACAGCUCAUAGAUUGUGUCAUUGAGCUCCUUCCUAGCAAUUCUCCAUUCUUCUUCAGCUUUUUCCUUGCUCUUCGUCAGCUUCACUAGAAUACCUUUAGUUCUAGCAUCCCAUUCAGGAUCAACCCACUUAAACUCCAUGCAUUUCUCCCCUUGAGGUUGCAGACACCGAUAAUGUUCAUAAAAUUCACCAUUUACGACACUAACAUCAAGAGUACAAGCAAGGUUUAUUAAAAUUGAAACAAGUUAUCACUUACAUCACAGCAGGAUGCAUACUGAUGCCCAGGGUUGUCAAAUGUCCAAUCAUACCUCACAUGGAGAGCAUACCCGUGCUCGCAGUUGUUUUCAAGAUCCACAAUGACAAUAUCAUGGUCAGGAGACCCCGAUCUUUCGCUACCAAUGACUCCAAGCACCUCUAGAAACUAGUAAAAUACAAGAACCUAUCAAUCCAUAAUACAAUCCAAAUUAAAAAAUAACUGUAUCUAGUGUGUUCAACAAAGAUCCCCAAAUCCAGAAAUCCUCUUCCCUAGGACGAUAGGGGAAAGUAGCGGCACAAACUAGUCGACUGACCUGACCGAAUGUCCUCCUCCCGUGGCCCCUACGAUCACGCACUAUUCCCGCCGCGGGUCAUUGUAGAUCUGCUCAACGAAGCUAGCUCAAGUCUUUGCCACAGCCAACAGGAGCGUGGUGCCAACGAGUCUCUUGCAGUAGUGUAUGCCAUGUCUAAAAAACAUACAUAGUUCAUGUCUUAGUGCUAGUGCUGUCUCAGCACUUUCAAGAGGUCACAGGUUCGAGCCUUGCUAUGGACACUCUUUCCUUUUUAUUUUCCUUCCCUUUUUCCAUCUCAGACUAACAUAACAAGGAAUUCUGAAUGGUAAAUAUAUUAGAAUCAAAUUGAAAGUAGAUUAAACCAAAGCGGCAUAAUCAGAUGGCAUGUCAUAGUCAUUCAUCACUACAAAGUUCAUAAUCAUCGUUCUUACUUAUCAUAAUUUGCCAGAUAGUACCAUCAACUGCCAAAUUCAAAGCACGAUCCCACCUCUCAACCAUCUACCCUAGCAAUAACAGCAAAUAUCACAACAGCAACAAGCAGCAAAUAUCACAGCAGCAACAGGUUUCAUAAGAUGGCAUGUCAUAACCAUUCAUCAUUACAAAAGUCAUAAUCAUCAUUAAUAGCUAUCAUAAUUUUCCAGAUAGUAUCAUCAGCUACCAAAAUACAAGCAUGAUCCCACCUCUCAAUGGUCAACCUAUCAAUAACACCAAACAUGAAAUUAUGCCUCGUCAUGGUCCCUAAAUGACCUUCUAUAUGAGGCAUGCAGUAGCAAUUGCCUGACCUUCUUCACCACAUUGGUGGCCUAAUCCAGGUGUCCCUUCACCUUGUGCAGCUCAGUGGCAAUCGCUUUAAGCUCCAUGCGUCUUUGUGCAUUUUUCCUUCCAUAUCCUUGCAUCGUUUUCAACUUUUAGAUUUCUAUUAUCAUUUCCCAUUUUUAGGUGAGACCUCUCUGCAUUGUCUAAUUUUCUUUGCCAUGUUCAUCAGCUCAUUGGUUGUAUCCUAAAGUAUCCUCGCUUCAUCAUGUGAAUCUCAUAUAUUUUGUCAUUGGCCUCCUUCUUAGCAAUUUUCUAUUCUUCUUCCCACGACCUUGGUUCCUCUUUAGCUUUUUCCUUCAUCUUCACCAGCUUGACUAGAAUACUUUUAGUCCUAGCAUCCCAUUCAGGAUCAACCCACUUAAACGCCGUGCAUUUAACCCCUUCAGGCUGCAGACACUGAUUACAUUCAUACAAUUCACCAUUUACAACACUAACAUCAAGAGUACAAGCAAGGUUAGUUUAUUAGAAUUGAAACAAGUUAUCGAUUACCUCAAAGCAGGAUACAUACCGGCACCUAGGGUUGUCAAAUGACCUAUCAUACUUCACAUGGAGAGGAAACCCAUGCUCGCACUUAUUUUUAUGAUGCAAAACGGUAACAUCAGGCGACGACGAUCUAGUGCUCUCAGUAACUCCAAGUUCAACUAGAAGCUAAUAAAAUACAAGAACCUAUCAAAUUAUAAAUUAAUUGCAUCACGAAAGUCAUCAUAACUUGAAAUCAAUAUUUAGCUUUGCACUUCAUAAACUAUAGCCUAUCAACUUAUAACACCAAUCGGAAUGCAAAUCUAAGGGUACGGUGAAAUCAGAAUCUAGUCUGUUCAACCCAGAUCCCCAAAUCCAGAAAUUCCCUUCCCAGCUAGGACAAUAGGGGAAAGUAGCGGCACAUACCAAGAGACUGACCUGACCAUACCUCCUUCUCCUCCCGUCGCCCCUAGGAGCCGCCAUUUCCGCCGCUGGCCAUUGCAGAUUUGUGCACCGACGCUAGCUCUAGUCUUUGCCAUAGCCAACAGGAGCAUGGUGCCGACGUGUCUCUUGCAGUUGUGUACGCCAUAUUGAGAAAUGAGAAAUAUCUAGCCGAUGCUUGGGCCUGCAAUAGGAAUGUGGACCACACUUAUUAGAAGUAAGAUAUAUAUAAUUUAUCCUAUCUAAAAAAUAUACAUAGUUCAUGUCUCAGUGUUAGUGCUGUCUCAGCACAAUCAAGAGGUCACAGGUUCGAGUCUUACUAUGGACACUCAUUUCUUUUAAUUUUCCUUCCUUUUUUCAUCUCAAACUAACAUAACUUACCAAAACUUUUGCCACUAUCUCAUCUGAAACUUACAUGUGGGACCUGGUUGCGGUAAUGAAUUCACAUUCGAUCGGUAAUAGGUUUGACCCAUGGGAGGAGUACGUUUUUCCAUUUUAUUUUACCGCCCUAUUUGUUAGCUUAAACUUACAUGUGGGACCCUCAUUGGUUUAUGACAUUUUUACGGAGCUUAUAUCAUCACAAAACCAUCAUGAAAUAGUGAGUGACGAUUUCUUUUUGGCUACAGUAGCAACUUUUAUGAUGUUCCGUAACUUUAUCACUAAAUUUGCUCGGAUGUAAAACUUUAUGAUGUUUUCGUCAGAAACAUCAUAGAUCUGUGAUGAGAAUAAAUGUGUCAUAAAAUUUUCAUCAUAGAUCAACAUAUUUCUUGUAGUGAACCCUAACUCGCCGGCUUCACUCCCCCGGUCACUCUCCCCUUCUCCUCUUCUCUUCCCAGACCCCGAGCACAACACCGGCGCCGUUGCCUGGAACUGCCGCCUAAGCCAUAGGCUCCACCUUCUCCUCUUCUCUUCCCAGACCCUGAGCACAAUACCGGCGCUGUUGCCUGGAACUGCCGCCUAAGCCAUAGGCUCCACCGCGGGCCCUAUGGUCGGAGGACGUGUGCGACACAGUCGCGCGUGCCUCCAUCCAGGGGCUCCGUCGGGGUGCGGCAACAGCCGGCGAGCGGGAGCGCAUCUGAUGCGCGGCGCGCAUCGGGCGGCGGUCUGGUCGACAAAGACGGCAACUGCCAUUGUUGAGGGCCACUCGAGGUCGUAGUGACCCGUGCGUGGUGGCACUAAUGCUGCAUAGGUGCUCGGGAUGGUGGCCGGAGGCCUGCUGGUCCCGCUGCAUCAGGGUGUGUGCAGCAACUCAAGCCGUGCACACCCUUGCUGAUGCAGCUGGUCGAGGAGCCGGUCGUCGACCACGCGCGGUGACCUCAUGGCACACGUGGCCGGCAGCUGGGUAAGUCCCCUAACACAGAGGGUUCUUCUGAUUUGGGGAUUCUCGAAUUUGGGGAAAAUUUUCUUAUGAAUUUUGCAAUUCGAAUCUUCCCCUCCUACUUGCUGAUGCGCACUUCAAUUUCAUGAAUUGCAUCUAAUUGCACGAACUCAUGGCAUAAUUCAUCAAUCCAUGGUUAAUUUGGGGAAAUAGUGAAACCCUAGCUUCAAUUAAUUUAAAUUAAUCAUCGAAUUAACUAAUUUGCAUCGGUUUGCUUAAUCAUUAAGCAUCAAAUAGGCACAUAAUAAUCUAAUCCGGCGACAUUAUCAUAAUAGAUCAAGAUUCAACUUAAAACUUGGGCUUAACCGAACUAGAUUAGGAUGAAUUGCAUCUGUAACUUGUAGAUUCUAAUUUGCAGUAGGCUAAUUGCACAUAAACAAGCACAGCGGUCUAAUUGCACAUGAAAGAAUUAAAUUUACGGCUAAUUGCACAUAAGCUAGCACGAUUGCAUCAGCACUGUCACUAAUUGCACAUCAAGAACUAAUCUAGGUUUAAUAGCUAACUGAUGCAUAUAAUUUAGGACUGAUCAAGCAUGGAACAGAUCCAUUGUAGGACUAAUGGCACAUGAUGUCGUACUUAAAAUGAAACGGAUUUAAUCUAAUUGCCAUCCAAAUCAUGCUUAACCGAUGCUAAUCAACAUACAACAGAGGCAUUACAUCUAAUUGCUCUGGAUUAGGAUCAUGUCAGAACUAAGUAGGCUCAUGAUACCGAUUGUUAGAAUUAACUUAGUCUAGCAUUAACUUAAAAAGAAUCUUAGCUUAGCGUAAUCAUGAUCACUAAUCAAACUUAAUGUGGAAACUUAGAUUAAACUAACCAGAGCCUGCAGACAGCAUCUGUAGUCGUAGCAGUAGGAUGUAGAUGAAGCAAAACUUUAUCUUCACCAGAUCAGGAGCUUGUUGCUCCUUGUUGAUGAAGAAACUUGAUGUUGAUGACGAACGGUAACCUCCUGGGAUGUCACCCUUGAUGACUUGAUGUAGAUGCUAAUCACCCUCUCAAGAUCAGGGGUUCUUGAUCUGGUGAGGUUUGGAUCUGGAGCUUUCGAUCCCUCCAGUGCUCUAAUUAAUCGGUGUUUAGCUUAAUGAUGAGAUUAGAUUGAUACACGGGCACCCCUCCAAUUCAUAUAUAUAUAUAUAUAUAUAUAUAUAUAUAUAUAUAUAUAUAUAUAUAGGAUUAUACUAUACAAUACCCUGGGUACGGAAUAAUCUAUUCCGUACCCGAGCCUAUCGGUGCGCUCACGCGCGGCCGGUUCAGACGAACUGGUGUUUUCCGAUUUUUAUACCAGCCCAUCCGAACGUGGGUCAUUAUUAGCAGGAACCGCUCUCCAUCCCCGCCGCGCGCCGUCCCUCUCCAUCCCCCGCCGCCGCCGCUCGCCACCCCUCCCCGCCGCCGCCGCUCGCCACCCCUUCCCGCCGCCGCUCGCCAUCCCCCGCCGCCACCGCUCGCCACCCCUCCCUGCCGCCGCCGCUCGCCACCCCUCCCCGCCGCCGCUCGCCAUCCCCCGCCGCCGCCGCUCGCCACCCCUCCCCGCCGCCGCUCGCCACCCCUUCCCGCCGCCGCUCGCCAUCCCUCCCCUCCGCCGCUCUCCAUCCCUCCCCGCCUCCGCUUGCCAUCCCCCGCCUCCCUGCCGCCGCUCGCCUUCCUCCACCGCCGCCGCUCCCAGACCCUAAGCUCGCCGCCCUCCGCCGUCGUCGCGCCCUCUGAUCUUCGCGUCACCGCCAGUCGCCAUCCCUCGCCGCCGCCGCCGCUCGGCAUCCCCCGCAUCCGCCGCUCCCCAACUGCUGGCGGGUAGGGCCUCCACCGCAUUCAUGGAGUCUUCAGGUAUCUGCUAAAUCUUUAGAAAUCUGGACUCAAAUGUUGCAGCUUCUAUGGACACAGCAAUUCAUGAGGUAUCUCAAUUAGCUUCUGUAUACAUUCUGUCUUGCAAUAUUUCUUAACUUGUUUUUCUGAAUUUCCCAGACUGCUCCGACAUUUAUUGUUAGAAGACCCUGCAAACCAUGUGAUUAUCUAGGUUUCGGUGAAACAUGAAAAUUAUCUAGGUUUAACUUUGUAAGAUGUAUUGUUGUGAACCCACAAAUUAUAACUAGAUGACACUGGAUGCCUAGAUAUUCAGCUUUUAUCAUGUUCUUGGUUUCGGAUGCUAAGGAGAACACAAAUUACUUUUGGAGCAUUGUUAUUCAUUAAUGUUUGUCACCUAUAUUAAAAUAGGGAUUAAUGUUUACUUUUCUGUUUUGAAUGCUGUGUACAGCAAUACUUCUUUGUGAUUUCGGGGAGUAUUUCAUGUUUGCUGAAUGUGAUUUUUAUGUUUUCUUCUAAAUACUACAAACUCAAUUCAUCCUUGAUUCGACCAUUGUGGAUAAGAAUUUAAUGCUUUGAGGGAUGAUGUUAAUUUUUUCCUCCUAUUUCUGUCUUAAUUCAAAAAACAUUUACCUGUGUAUCGAUCCAUGCAGCUAUUUUGAAAUAUUUCGGGGCAUACUUCAUGAAGGAGAAAUAGACAAGAGAGUACAAUAUUGAUUGAAGACUAUUUUGCAAUUAGAAAGUUUCAGGUGAAAUUAUACUUGCUGUAACCUGGUGUUUCUUUCAUUGCAUGAUCAUUCAAUGUUCUGAUAAAUGAUUUUUUCCUUAUAGGGAUUCCUUGCCAUCCGACACCAUAGCUCCGUGGCCGAGGCAGUCAGGUGACUGCGCUGACCACCAACAUUUCUUGCAUGUUGCGUGUAUCUAUUUUUGACUGAGGAACUACUAACAAUGUUGAUGCACACUUCGUAUUCGAGUUAAUGCCCCUGCUGGUUGGAUUAAAAACCUAUGAGUGCCUGCAGCUUUGAUUAGGUUCCUGCCUGCAGCUUUGAUCUGGUUACCCAUUUUCCCCAUUCUAUUCUUCAACUCCCAUUCAUUUUGUUUUAGCUCUUGCAUGAGAUGGGUCCUUCAAACUCUUUCUUCUUGAUAUUAAUAUACAUAUUUUUUAAAUUGAUUACUAGUUAAAGUUAUGUAGUAGAGGGCGGACCAGAGUGCCACUUCCGUAGUUGUUAUAUGAACUAGCCGUUGAUUAAUUUUCUGGAAUCCUGUAAGUAUCCAGUAUUCUUAAAUUGCACGUAUUGAACUUUAGGCAUGCCUUUCAAUAUUGAUAUAUCUAUGUAUGUGGUAGCCGAUGUUACAGAUUUAAGGUUCCUAGAUUUUACAGCUUAUAAAUUGUUUGCUUAGGAGUUAGGACACCUUGCAGUGAGAUGGCAUCCAAUAAUCUCUGUUGCUUUGUUCGAUUUGGUUGGCACUACUCUUAAUAAUAAGUCAAUCUAUACAGUUUCUCUAUCCUGGCAGUAGGAGAAAAGUACUAGGAACUGUUGGGUGUUCUAAUUGAAGACUAAGUUUUUUUAAUAUUGUAUGCUAGUAAACUAGUAUGCCAUAUACCCAGCUUUCUAUGAUAACAAUUUGAGAUUAACUGAGUGCCAUGGAUUGUUGUAUUCGAGUUAGAAAAUACUUGCAUCGAUGAGAUCCGGGCGGCGCAGCUGGAAGCCGGCUGGCGCCCCCACCCCUCCUCGGCUUGCAUCCACAUGUUCCAAUUCUUCUGCAAAUGGCUCCGAAACCUGAACCACAUGAUUGGUAAGUAAUUCAGUGCCGUUUUUAUUUUGUUUUCCUGCCCCUAAACAAAAUUUCUCUUCUUAACAGUAGCAAGGUAUCCUAAGCGAACUUUUCAGAGCUAGUGUUGUCUCUUCUUACUGCCUGAUAUUUAUUGACCAUGGGAGAAUCUGAUCAGGUUUGCCAGUCCAAAUCUUGUGCUAGGUGCGGACUGUCGUCCUGCAUGUGGAAAAUCAACGUUAUCUUCUGACUUUAUUCUGAUCUUAUUCUUUUUGGCAGACUGCAACUUCCGGUGUCAUAUAGUGGUGAAGAAAUUCAUUUCUCAUCCAAUUUGCAAUUUCAAUUUUGUUCUUACUAUUUAAUUUCCAUCUUCUCCUACAUGCAGAUCAGAGACGACAUGCAGUACCUGAUUUCCAUUUGUUCAUUAGUAGCAUGGUGGAUGUACUCAUGGGCGGGUUCAGGUUUCUCGAGCUCAGGUUGCUUUGUUGCUUUGUUUGGGACUACUCUUAAUAAUAAGUCAAUCUAUACAGUUUCUGCUGAACAAGUAGAUGUUUUGUUUCGUUAACCACAGUUAGGUGCAACUGUUCUGGGUCUUCUUAGCUUUAGCAAAAAUAUUUGGGUUUUUAUUUGUCUCAGAAGCGAUUAUUGAUUGUGGUUAAAGGAUUCACUCACUUCAAUUGGGAUGUAGCAAAGUUUCUGCACCUAUAUUUCAUUAUUUACAAUUACACAGAAGCUUUUCUAUCCACAUGUCACAUCGUUAUACGCAACCUUUUGCUAUCGUGUUCUAUUGCAGGCUCGGGCGGCAGUGAGUACAAUGAGGUCACAAGCAAACUUCAGGAAUACACUAACAGAGAUUGUGACAAGCUCACUAUGGUCUGCUUCUGAUUAAGACACCAAGAAUUAGUAGUGCAAUGCAUAAAAAAGUUGUACUAUUGUUUAGAUGCCCACAUGUUUCAAUAUGUUGUUUUCACGGUCCGAUUUCAGUCUGUUUGUGUGCAAGUAGGUUACAAGCAAUGUGACUACGAGGCAGAUGACAUUGGUCACAGAGAGGGCAGAGAACGAAGAUUCAUUAACCAAUUAGUAUUCUUGGGACACCUGACUGCUCAGUCCAUUCCGAAAUUCCGUCUCAUGAAAUUGAGACACCUGGUCGCCAAUUUGUAUGGCUAGAUUUAUCACGAAUGUAAAGAUCACUCAGUCGUUGAAUAUUUACUGUACUAGCUCACAUUUCAAUUAAUAAAAAAAGAUAAGUUGGACCGAUAAGUUGGACCUUAAAGACCCUUUGAUAUGAUGAACAAACAUUUUGAUUAAGGAAACAUGACAAUUUCGAUGGUUCAAUCUAAACAUUGGUCUGUUUGAUCAUACAAACUGAAUUCUUGAACCAACAAUUAUACAAUUUUAAAUACUUUUUUAACCAAUGAAUGUUCUAAGGAGCAAAUUUUGCAAUUUUUUUAAAAUUCUGUUAUGUAGUGUCUGCAAACAAAAAGCAAUGCAUGUUCUAUGGAGCAAAUUUUGUAAUUUUUACAAUUCUAUUUUAUAGAAUUUCCAAAUAAUCAGAAGGCUUGCCAUUUAGUGCGUCCUUUUCCAAUGCGUGUUUUUUUCUCGGAAUAGUUUGUAGACCAAGAAAAAAAGAUCUGUACUUCUAGGUGUAAGGAUAUUUGGCCCUUAACUAAUUGCAACCCUUCUGUGAUCUAGCUGUCUUCAACGAAUGAACAUGCAUAAACCUGCAAACACUUGGGCAAACUGAGCUGGGUAGUGGGCUAGGGCGGCUGUUUUUUUUCUUUGUGAGGAAACUGGCCAAUACAAAAACUGCAGAGUGCAGACAGAUGUGGUUCAGCGCGUGGAGAAAAACGGGAAAACAGACCGCACAGACGCACAGUACGUCGGGCGGGGCGAUGCGCGGGAAAAAAAAACCGGGACCCUGUGGGUUGCGGGAGCCCGAAGGAGCGCUCGGACGGGCGCGGAGGUGGUGCUCGGGUACAGAAUAACUUAUUCUGUACCCUGGGUACCAAAUAGCGGAGGCCUAUAUAUAUAUAUAUAUAUAUAUAUACACACACACACACAGUGGUGAAGCUAGAGGGGGGUGCACUUACCUUGUGGGUGCAUAGAGUUUGAUUAUUAGGGGUGCAUAUAUGGUGAAAAAUUAAACAUAUUCACUAUGGGUGCAUUAGCACGCCCUAAUUACUAUAUACAUCCGCCCUUGUAUGUAUGUAUGUAUGUAUGUACGUACGUACGUACGUAUGAUUGAUGAGGCUAAAAUGCACCCAGGUGCAUUCUUAACAUCAAAUGCAUAGACCCACCGCACAUGCCGCAUGCCAUUAACCAAAGGAAGGUCCGUCGCUUGUGCAUGCAAAAUUAAAUGGAGGCAACCAACCACGUGACACCACCUCACACCUCAACCCACCCACCAGGAUGCAUGCAUGUAUGCAGGAAAUCUUUUCUUGAUUCGAAACGAAAAAAUGCGAUAUGUCCUAGACCACAUAUCCGAUUUUUAGAUCCAUUUGAAGGAGGCUGUUGGAAAUAAUGUGCUUAACAAAACAAGAUCCACGAAGCCUAUAUUUGAUGAUGUUUUUUCAAGCACGUAAUUACAAUAUGUGGUACAGUGAGUUGCAAUCACUUCUACAACACAAUUGCAACUUGGUUGUAGCGUAAUUUAGCACUGGUUAUAACUAGUUAUAACAUCUUGUAACCUUGUUACUUGUAGUUGCAAUUAGUUACAACUCAGUUGCAAUGCAUUUACUACUCUGAUUGCAACCAGCACUACGGGAAACCUCAAAUUUGCCAAGUAUUUUUUUCCGGACACUCGGCAAACAAGGGGCUUUGCCGAGUGCCGAGCUGAAAACACUCGGCAAAGAAAAAAGUUUGCCGAGUGUUUUUUUUGACACUCGGCAAAACAAUAACUUUUUUCUCUUUUCACCUUGAAAAGUUUUCUACUCCCCACAUACAACAUGUGGUACUCCAUAUUAAAAUUUGGUAUAUUUUUGGAUUUGUUUGCUAUAUUUAAUUAAUUAAUUGCCUUUCAAGGAAAUUUUUGGUGUAAGUCAAAUUUGAACUGCAAGUGAUUCAAAUUAUAGAAUAAAAUGAGUAGAAAAAUAAUAUUCAUGUUAUUUAGCCUAAUUUGAGACCUGACUCGUGAAAUGAAAAGAAAUUUUGAACAUUUUGUUCAGGAAAUACGACCACGAUGUGUGGCCGAAUGAUUUUUAAAUUGUAAAAAAAGCAAGCGAAGUCUGAAAAUAAUAAGAUUUUUCAUGAUGUGAUAAUAUCAUACAUGAAGGCUGUGGUAAAAAAUUGAGAAGGUUUCGCACAUUUCAUCACGUACGAUGUUUACAAACCGAAGCAUCUCAGAAGAAGAAUAGUAGCGUUGAGAAGGAUUCGAUAAUAUUUGGAGUCAAAGUGAUGGUCGAGUUUUGGUUUGACUACAAAAGUUUUUGUAUAGUCAAUAGAGAAUAUAUAUUAUUUCAUGUGAAAUUUUGGUAAAGUUUUGGAAUCGUUAGAUAAUUUUAAUGUAUUAAAGGCAAUUAUAGAAUUUUAAUUCAUAUAAAUUGAAUUUGAGCUAUAACCGCAUAAAAUCAUGGAAUAAUAUGAGUAAAACAAUCAAAUAUAUAUUGUUGAGUGAAUUUGACGAAGUAUUUUCAAAGUGUAUCAAAACAAAUGUAGAAGAAAGUGUUACGAAAAAGAAGGAAAAAUGAAAAAAACAAAGGGUUUGCCGAGUGCAUUCUUUUUUCCACUCGGCAAAAAAAAGGAAAAAAAACUUCCAUAGCAUCCCCUCCCUUUAACAGCAGGCGAAGCCCCCCAUCCCUCCCGGCCCCCCCCUUUCUUCUUCCGCACCCCCUCCGCCUUCCCCACUCCCUCCGCCUUCUUCCCCACCCCCUCCCCUUCACCCGCCCCAUCUCACCGGCGGUCGGCCCCUCACCUCCCUCUCUUCCCCGGUGCCAGCCACUCCAUCUCCUUCCCCGGUGCCCCCUCUCUCUCCCGAUGGCCAGCCCAUGCCCCUCCCCAGAUCCUCCUGGCCAUGCCUCAGCUCCUUCCCAGAUCUGCCCGCCCGGCGGCCUCCCCUCCCUCUUCGGUGCGGGCGCCGCCCCGUCCCUGCUCCUCUCUGGAUCCGGCCGCCACCGCUCCCCCUCUCUCUCCCAGUGGUGGUGUGGUGCUGGUGGUGGUGUGGCACGGCGGGAGGUGUGGUGGUGCUGGUGGUGGCGAUGGCGGCGAUGGCAGCGGGAGGCGUGUUGGUGGUGGUGGUGCGACGCGUUCGUGCAGUUGGUGGUGGUGCGCUCGAGGCCAGUGGUGUGAGGCGUGUUGGCAGCGGGAGAGGACGGCGGCGCGGGCCAGUGGCGGGGCGUGGUGCGGGCGGUGGUGGUGUGCUUGGUGGAGGUGCGGGCGUGGUGCGGGUGGCGUGGUUCGAUGGCAGCAUGGGAGGUGGAGCCGGCGAGGAGGCCGACUUGGUGCUGGUGGUCGUGGUGCUGGCUGAGCAGACGGUGGUGGUGGCGGCGGUGGAGCAGGAUGUGGUGGUGGUGGAGCACGAUGUUUUUCUUAUUUUUUUCGAAAAAUCUUUGCCGAGUGUUUGCCAGGUGCCCGACAAAAAACACUCGGCAAACUUUUGUUUGUUGAAGGAAUUUUUGUCGUGUGCGGUGUGCGAGUGUAACACUUGGCAAACACUUUGUCGAGUGUUUUUGGGGUUUGGCCGAGUGCAGGCACACAGCAAACCUCCUGAUUCCCGUAGUGCAGGUAUGCUUUCAACUUCUUUUGAAUAGAAUUGCAACCGGUUAUCAUGGGUUGCAACCAGUUACAACCUAAUUGUUUUCCAGUUGUUACUAGUUGCACUAAGUUACUAUCCGGUAGUAAAGCUGAGUUAAUACUAGUUGUAACUCAUUACUACACAAUCAAUACUUUUUGCAACGAGUUACUACUAUCCAAUUGCAACCUAGUUACUCUUUAUUGGAACUAGUUACUACGCAUUUUCAACACAAUUGUUACUCUGGUUGCAACAAGAUAUGAUUGCAACUUAGGAUUGCCACCUGACAUGAUCAUAGUGACCUCAUGCAAAUAAUACACAUAGUUAUAACUAGUUACAACUUGGUGGUAGACAGAGUUGCAAUUGAUAGUACAUAGAUAUGAAACUCGCUUAAACGAUAAAAAAUAUAUCCAUAUUGGAGCUAGUUUUGUUAAGCAUAUUUUUUAUAGGAAUGCAACAAACUAUUUGUCAAUCGGGGUUACAAUUUAGGAGAAAAAUUGCUUCAAAUAUUCGAACCAACAAAAUGUUACAUGCAUGCAUGCAUGUAGUCUAGUGGGAUUUGUAUGCUAGGUGACUUCACGUGGUAGGUGGAAGAUACAAAUUAACUUAGGAAGCACGCACCGUAUGUUCGGUUGGGUGCGCUGGUUGCUCCAACCUAUUGCGCAUGCCAGCUAGAGUGCAUUCUACGUACAGGAUGCACUUAGGUGUAUUAUAGCAAAACAGCGUGUGUGUGUGCGCAUGCGCGUAUGUGUAUGUCUACACACACGGAAUGGGUGCGACGUAUGGAUGUGGUGGCAACCGCUGCGUCCGUACGCCGGACAGUGAUGUCGUUCUGAUAACCAAUACACCAAUGGAUGGAUGGAUGAGAUCAUUUAAUCUUAUGUUUUGUAACACUCCCCCUUGAUCAAAUCUAGCUUUGAUCAUCCUCCAAUUAGUAGAUUUAUUCCUUCAAGAUAUCUGUUAAGAAAUCUGUGAAAUAUAUGUAGAUAGAUAUAUUAAGUAAAACUCCUCAAAACCCGAUGGGAAAAUAAGGAGAAUAAUCAUGAUAUAUAAAUGUUUCUUUGAAUCCCUGUGAGUGAAGCUCAUAGUGUAGUCCAAAGAAUUAUAUGCUUAUACUCAUUAUUGUUAAAAACUCUUGUGGGGAAAAAUAAAUGAUGAAGCAUGUAGCUUAUGUUCAUAUUACCUCAUUAAAAACUUUGGAUGAGAAACCCGAAAGGGGAAAAACUGAUACAAAGAAAAGAGUGUAAUAUGAUAGCAUAACAAGUUAUUUAUCAGAGAGAGAUACUCCCCCUGAUUCUUGCAAGUCUUUGAGUUGUGUCAUACCAAUCCCCUCAACACAUUUUGAAAUGAAGAGUAUGGUAAAGACUUUAUAAAUAAAUUAGCAAGAUUAUCACAAGACUUUGUCUGCAAGAUGUUUUUGUCCCCAUUUUGCUGAAGCUCAUAAAUAUAAAAAAAUUUAUGAGCAAUAUGUUUGGUAAUAUUGCUUUUAAUAUAACCUGUUUCCAUCUGAACAAUACAAGCAACAUUAUCUUCAUAGAUAAUGGUUGGUGAUUCAAGUGAACCAAUACCACAAGAUGUAAGUAUGUGGUUUACCAUUUUGCGAAGCCAUACACACUCACGUGAUGCUUCAAAUCAUGCAAUUAUUUCAGAAUGGUUGGUGGAUGUAGCUACCAAAGUCUGUUUGGAAGACUUCCAUGAAAUACAAGUUCCACCUUGUAAGGAAACGAAUCCUGUUUGCAAUCUGGCAUUGUGGGGAUCAGAUAAGUAGCCAGCAUCGGUAUACCCAAUCAAAGUCAGAUCAUUAUUCCCCUUGAAGAAGAGGUAAAGAUCUUUUGUGCCAUUGAGAUAUUGAAAGAUAUUCUUAACUCUAGUCCAAUGACGUUUGGUAGGAGCAUCGCUAUAUCUUGCUAGCAGGUUUACUACAAAAGCAAUAUCCGGUCGGGUGUUGUUAGCAAGAUACAUAAGCAAACCAAUAGCACUAAGAUAUGGGAAUUCAGCUCCAUGUUCCCUUGGUCUAAAUGGGUCUUUCUCUACGUCUAGAGAUCUGACUACCAUGGGAGUUUUAGAUGGAUAUGAUGUAUCCAUAUUGAAUUUCUUCAAUAUCUUUUGGGUAUAUACACUUUGGUGCACAAGGAUUCCUGAAGGUAAAUGCUCAAGUUGUAGACCUAAGAAAAAUUUGGUUUGACCCAAAUCCUUCAUUUCAAACUCCAUCAUAAAAUGAUGACGUGCUUCAUCAAUAUCCAGUUCAUUGCCAAUGAUAUUAAGAUCAUCAACAUAGACUGAGAUAAUGCAAAAUCCUAUGGGGGAUUUUUUUUAAUGAAGACGCAAGGGCAAUCAUCAUUUUUAGUGUAUCCCUUAUGUAGUAGGAAUUCACUUAAUCAAUUGUACCACAUCCUGCAUGAUUGUUGUAAGCCAUAAAGUGGCUUCUGCAACUUAACGCAAUACAUUUUGUGAUUUGACUUAGGAUUUGGUACAUCGAUUCCAUCAGGAACCUUCAUGUAUAUAUCAAAAUCCAAUCCAGUGACCCAUAGAGGUAUGCAGUCACUAUGUCCAUCAACUGCAUAGAUAGAUGGUUUUGUACUACCAAUGAUAUUAAAUAUCGGAAAGUUAUUGCACUCAUGACUGGAGAGUAAGUCUCGUUGAAAUCAACACCGGGUCUUUGCGUAAAACCCUGUGCAACAAGCCUUGCCAUAUAUCUCACCACCUCAUUAUUUUUGUUCCAUUUUCAGACGAAAACCCACUUCUAUCCCACAGGAAAGAUAUCAUGAGGGGUAGGCAUUACAACUGAGAAUACUUCACUUUUGUAAAGCGAGGCUAACUCCGCUGCAAUUUGCAUCCUUCCAUUUGUUCCGGUCCAAGCACUUUUGGCACUCUACCAUGGAUUUAGGAUCUAGAUCAGGUUGAACGAAUUCAACAAUUUUCUCGGAGAAAUAUGUGUCGCAAUUGUAGAUUUUCUAUCAAAAGUCUACCUAGUCUCAACAAAGUUAAUGGCAAUUUCAUCUACCCUUUUAGACUCAUCGUGACUUCCCGAAAUGAUAUGUCUAGGGUCUUCUGUUGUCCCAGUCUCAGCAAUGCGCACCACUGAGCUAGGCCGCGGAUCAACACAAUCCACUUGAUACGAAGUAUCCAUUUGGUGAACGUCAACUGAAGGUUAACUUGCAUUCACCAUCUUUAUUUGCUUGCUAGCAUUAGUAUUUUGCUUGGUGGCCCUACUUCUCUGUCUCUUAUUGUUAAGUGGGAGUUGAGUGGUUUUAUUUGGUACUCCACUCUUUCUAGCGCAUUCCGAGUAGGAAUGAAAGAUUUAGUGACACCUUUGUAAUUGGUGAAUGCAUCUGGCAGUUCAUUUGCAAGUUUUUGCAAAUGUAUGAUCUUCUGAACCUGUAGUUCAGUUUCUAUAGUAUAUGGAUUAGAGGAUGGAAUACCUUGAGCAUUCCAAUCAAUUUGCUAGCGUUCUUUAUUGUACUUGAAGUCUCCCCCUAAUGCCGGGAAAUGUUCCUUAUCAAGAUAGAAUUGACAUACUGCGUAGUAAAUAGAUCUCCCAUUAGGGGUUCUAAAUGCUUAAUGAUCGACUGAGAUCGAAAUCCCACAUAGAUCCCCACUUUCCUAUGUGGGCCCAUAGCGGUAUGAUGAGGUGGUGAGAUUGGGAUGUAGACAACACAUCCAAACUUAUGCAAAUGGGAAAUACUUGGAGGAUUUGCACGUACUAACUGCAUUGGGGAAGUAUCAUGAUAUGCAGUUGGUCGUAGUUGGACAAGGUUGGCUGCAUGCAGUACUGCAUGACCCUAACAUGACGUAGGCAAUUUGCAAUUCAUUAAAAAUUUUUUUGCAAUGAGCUUGAUCCAUUUGAUCAACGAUUCAGCCAAACCAUUCUGGGUAUGGACAUAUGGAACAGAGUGCUGAACUUGAAUUCCCAAUGCCAUAAAAUAAUCAUUGAAAGCAUGAGAGGUGAAUUCUGCAACAUUGUUCAUACGGAUUGAUUGAAUCCUAUGUUCAGGAAAAUUUGCCUUCAACUUUAUGAGUUGAGACAUUAUUUUGGCAAAUGCAUGGUUGCGUGUUAAAAGUACACACACGUGUGACCAUCGAGUAGAUGUGUUAAUCAAAACUAUGAAAUACUUGAAUAGUCCAGAAGUCGGCACAAUCGGACCAUAAAUAUCUCCUUGAAUUCUUUCAAGGAAUUUAAGUGGUUCAGCCUUGAUUUUGAGAGGAGAUGGCCUCAAAAUCAAUUUCCUAGUGGCACAUGCAGUGCACACAAAAUUGGAGGAUUUCAGAAACUUUGCAGUGAGUAAACUAUGACCAAUAGAAUUGCCGAUAAUUUUUCUCAUCAUCCCUAUUCCAGGGUGCCCAAGUUGAUCAUGCCAUGUGUGGAAUGGAUCGACAUUCUGAAAAAUUACCUAAUAUGCAACAUGUGCAAUGGGCUUAAUGUAUCUAUAGUACAACCCAGAUGAGAGUGAUGGAAUUCUUUCGCAUGUGCGUUUGCCAUAUCCAUUUUUUUUAGUCAAGAGAAGAAAUUCUUCUUGAUUGUCCUCAUGGGUUUCAACAUGAAUCCCAUUUUGAUGGAUAUCUCUAAAACUAAGUAGGGUAUGAGUUGAAUCAGUGUACAAGAGUGCAUCCUCAAUUGUAAUUUGUGUACCCAUGGAGAGUGUAAUAGUGGCUCGACCAGAUCCAACUAUUACAACAUCACGUCCAGCGAUGGUCAAAACUUUUCCAUCUCUCUUCUUGAGAGUCUAAAAAUAUUUGAGCUCCCUAAGUGUAGAGUUUGUGGUACAUCUGUCCACAAGGCAUAAUUCCUCCUCUGUUGAAUUGACAUCAUGAGACAUCUGCAGUGAAACAAGAAAUUCUAGUUAAGAAUUCUUUAUUCAACAUAUAGAUAUACAUACAAUUAUUGAACAUCAAAUACACAGUAUGACGUUACAAUACAUAUGAGUUUGUACGACUCAAAGUACAUGAGUGCGCACAUCUCAAAUAACUACCAAUUAUUACAACUGGAAUUAGAGGUACAACUCAUACAAUGAGUUUGUACAUCUCUACUUAUUACAACAUCAACAUAUGACAAAUAUAGAACAUCAACAACUGACUCGAGAUAAUAUGACUGAUGGUAGAUCAAUCCUUCAAGUGGAUCAUGACACUGAGAUUACUCUAAAUAUCCAAGUGGAUCCUUCGAGAAGCACUCGAGGAGCAUGCUAUCAAUAGGAUCUUCUUCUGGAAGAGUGAGCAUGCCAGCAGUUGCAACGGGGUUCUCUUGAGGAAGAGUAAGGUUGUUCUACAAUUCAGUAGGAGCCUGCUGAGAGCUUCCAACCUCCGGUGUAGCCUCAGAAAGAUUGAGUGAGCUUCAUAUCUUGGUUUGUCAAACUUUGGCUUCUUGAGGGAUUUUUGAUAUAGAAGAACUAGAUGUGGUGGGCAACGGCACUGUUUAGCAACAUGAUUGUCACUACCACAUCUGUUGCAAUGCUUGCGGCUAUUGCCAUGAGGUGGUGGUGUUGUUCCCUUUCCUUUUCCUCUCUUAUGGAAUUUGCACCUAUUGUUGAAUUUUUUACCAGCCGAAUUCCUGGAGAAGUUAUUCCCCUUGAAUUCCUUCUUAUUAUCAGCAUUAUUAUGAACAUUGUAGGCAAAGGAGCAGAAGCCGAAGGGCAUUGAUGAGCAUUCUUUAAAAGAAGCUCAUGAUGUUUUUUUGUCUGAGACAAUGUAUGAAUAAGCUGAGAAUAUUGCUGGAAGUUGCUUGAGCGGUAUUGCUGGUGCAAUAUCCUGUCCUCUAGAAGCAUAGUAGAUAGAGUUUUCUCUAUCUUUUCUGCAUCCGUUGGCUCUUUCUCGCAAAAUUUCAAACUGGAGCAAAUGCUAUGAAUAGCAUGAUUGUAGUCUGCAGUAGAUUUGAAAUCUUUCAGGUGAAGGUGAUUCCACUCAUGAUUGGCUGGAGACCAAAUGAGUUACUUCUGUUGUUCAUAGCGCUCUUUAAGAGCCUUCCAUAAAGCAAGUGGGCAUCUUUCCAUUAGAUACUCUUGUUUGAGAUCUUUAUGGAUGUAGAGCCUGAGAAGAAAAAGAGCAGAAUUUUUUUUUGUCUGUGAUGGGGGGAGCUCAACAAUCCCACGAGAAGCAAAGUUAAUUUUGAUGUCCGAAGCCUAAGUUGGGUAGUUGUGCCCAUCAAGAGCGAGUUCAUAAAACUCUUUAUUUGCCAUAUCCCUACAAUUAUAACCAUGGAUUACAAUUAAUUUAUGGAGGUAAAUUAAGAAUCACAAUGGUGAUGUUGUAAGCUCAAAUGCAAGAAAUCACAUAUGAUAUGAGGGAAAUGUAGGUAGAAGACCAUACAUUAGAAUUAAUAUUUUGAGAAUUAGUAAGCACAUUAUAGAUAAUCUCUAAAUUAAUGGAGUAGAUCUCCUAGUAGUGGGCAAGUAGCUCGUUGCCUAAAAGAAUGGUCUCUAGGUUGAUAUGUUCAAAAAGAAACAUACCACAGCCAAUGCCUAGGUCUCCACUACCAUAUACUUAACUAAUUACCAAAAUCAAAUUCCAAUAGCCUCACAUAUUCACUUUGGAAAGCAUGUAUAGGCAAUCAUCGGAAAGAUGUAGACCUCUUAGCGAUGGGCAAGAAACUUGCUACCUAAAAGCACGAUCUCAAGGCAACUAAAUUAUAUAAAAGAACUUAGCCUAGCCGGUGCCUCAGUCUCCAUCACCCUAUGUUCCAAUCCCAAGAUAAAUAUAUGUAAUUUCUUUUGCAUGAGAUCCAGGAUAAUUAAGGGCAACUUAAUUAAAGAUGUGCUAAGUUAUAAUUCAAUAUUUGAAAGAAAAUUGCAAAUUAAAACAAAGCAAGUAAGUGGAGUAUGUCUUAGAAAAAUGGGAAGGCAUAAAUACUAAAACAUGUGCAGUAAUUCAUAAAACAUAGUCUAAAUUGCAUAAAGGACAACAUCAAGGGUGUAAACACUAAAGUACAUAGACACGUAUGUACAAUUACAGAUCCGGUGAGCCCCUCAGGCCCCCUCAUCGGAGGAGGAAAGCGUGCGGCCACCCACGCCGUUGAGGAGGUGGUGAUGGCCGGUGGGGAUGAGUCCUGACCAACGGUUGUCUGCUAUGGAGGCGUCGCGGCGGUCAGAGCUCUGGCCGGCCAACGUGGUCGGGCCUGGGAAGGAGGCGGCCAGCUCCCAUUUGCGUGCCGCAACAGUGCCCCCUGAGCCAAAGCCUGACAGCACUGGGGAGGAGAAACAGCGGUGGCAACGACCAGUGAUGGGAGAAGGGGCCCGCGGAGGGGGCGAAGGCGGCAUGACCUCCAUGGGCUCCACCUCUGGUGGCUCGACAACGUCGACCUGCUCCGGGGCUGGCGGCGACUCCAAAGCCAAGGGCAUGGCGCACAGAACCGAGUGCAAAGGCACUACUGCAGUCCAUCCAUGGACGACGCAGAAGUGCAUAUUCUGCACCUAGACACGACGUAGUGGGUCAACGGCCGGUGGCGGCUCACUCGGACCAGCCCCGGCGCUCGGCCUUGCUCUGUCCACGUGGUAGUUGAAACUUUGGUGAUCAUCGACGCUCAUGCGCGUGCCGCGACGGCAGCGUGCAGCACGGGGGCCAAGAGGAGCAGCAACCAUGGCAUUCCAAUCGAGGAGGCCACGGCACACACCACCAGGCGUCAUGCCGUGAUGGAUGGCCAGGGAGCGGUGUACCGAGUGGUUGAGGAGGUGCUGGAGACGGCGAGCACAAAGGUGGCAAGGAAGAUGAAGAACGGAAUCGAAAAGGACGUCAAUGGUAGGGAUUGUACCUUCAAGUGCUGGAGGCUGAGGCCUCGUUGCUUUUCUCUACGAUUUCCAACUUCUCCUUCUUCGUCUCGAUUGCUUUUCUUUCGGAGCAGUGCUAAUAAUGUGUUUGAAGUAAUGUAAAACGAGAGAGACAAUGAACGAGAGGGAAUGGAUCGGUAGUUUCAUUGAUUCAAUCUUUCAUAUAAAUCGACAGGGAAUGGGUGCGACAUAUGGACGUGGUGGCAACCGCCACGUCCGUACGCCGGAUGGUGAUGUUGGUUCUGAGAACAGAUACACCGAUGGAUGGAUGGAUGAGAUCAUCUAAUAUCAUGUUUUGUAACACCUUCUGUCCUCAGUUUCUCCUUUGACUAGCUCUUAUAUACUCUAUCGUCAUUUUCUCCUUUUACUAGCUCUUAUUAAAUGUUUGGAAAGCUUGGCGCCUUUUUUUAAAUAAAAACUUUUCUUUUGUUCGCGCUAGAUUGCACAGCAUGGUUUGUCUCGUUGUCGGCUUUCUGUUCUUAUUUUUUUUACUUUUUUGUAAUAAUUAUAAGAGAAAUAAAGAUUUGUUGAUUCGUAACCACACAUUGGCAAUAUGUAUCACAUUUUCCGCUCCCCCAAACAAAGCUUGGGAUCAUUUUUACAACAUAUUUUAUCUAGCUUGGGAGAGCAAGCCACACAAUUUUUUCCGUAAUGGAUUCAUGGGACCUACGCAUACGGUUCAAAAGAAAUCUUGCUGCUCUAGAUUGUAAAUUAUUUUGACUUUCUAGAUAGAUUGUAAAUCGUUUUGACUUUCUAGAUGUAUUAUAUAUCCAAACAUUGCACUUGCAUAGAAAAAAUUAUAAAUUUAAAGAAGUUAAAAUAACUUACACUUUAAAAAUAAAGGGAGGUGGUCCGGGAGCUUCCGGUGCUCCCGUGCAUUUGGUACAUCUAUUGGAAUCGUGGAUGGUCCAGAUGCAACCAAUAUGUCUAUGUGGACUGCGGGUUGGAUUUGGGGAAAGUGCAGGGAUUAAAAUGCAAAUUGCAUCAUCGAACAUUGGUUUCAUCUCAUCCAUCCAAGAUGCAUCCAAUGGAUGUCAUCUACCUGGUGCAUGGGAGCACAAGAAGCUCCUGGUGUACAGGAUCCUCUUUCGAGAGUAUAAUUGUGGUGAACCAAACUAUAAAACUUAACUAAACUUGUCUAAGUUGUACCAACACGUCGAUCAUUUCCAAGUUUGCUAAGUGGCAAGCAUCGUAAAUGUUUCUUUUGUCCAGAUUACAAAGAUUUAUGUGUUAAAAUUCCAUUUCUAAUUUCUGGCAAAGUUCGGUUAUAAAAGUCGUUUCAUGUCAAUUUUUUAAACAUCUCUAGCAACUUAUUUAUGGCCCAUAUUAAUAACAAAUUGAUUGGUUUUUCAGAUGUUAAGCUUACGAUAAAUUGGACUAUAUUAGUAUAACCUCUUUAUGCAAGAGAGCCUUACUUUGUCGCAUAGUUGGCUAUAACAUAGUAUGUGUUGACAACAAAAACUUGCUGGUUAGCGACUGACUGCCCUCGAGUUUCUUUGUUUCUACUGUUUCGAUGACGGUGUUUCUUCCUCCUCUCUUGUUAGAAAGAGAUCCUAAAAGGAGAGCCGAGGAAUUUUGCAUAAAGUAUCCGGAGGAUACAAGGUUGAUAUAGUCCUUUAAUUUUUCUUCAUAUUACAAUAGGCACAUAACUAUAUUUGACAUAAGAAAAGGCUUCCGUCACAGCACUCAGGCCUAUCAGCAUGACGGCGCCUUCCAAUAUUUAAAUAUUGAAUGUUAAAUGAUACAGAUGGUCUGUACACUAAACGAUUAGAUUUUAAAAUAUAACUCGAUUAAUAAUAUAAAAAUAUUUAUUAAAUAUUGAAAUUAAUAGUUAUUAAAAAACAAUUAUUGCGGCCUUGGGGGAGAAGAGGGCCUGGUCCUGGCUUCCUGCUUGGAAGGCACACUCUGUCUGGAGUCUGGAGCCAUUGCGAAUUUGCAAGUUGCGACCCAACCGAGUCGACCACGGACCACUCGUUCCGUUUCAGCUCUAGCGGCCUCUCCACCCUUCUUCGUCUCCCUCCAUCCAAGACGCUUGCUUCCACCACCGCGGUUCCACCUCUCUAUCUCUCACUCUCUCGUCUCAUUCCCUCAACGGUGCGUGCAGUGGUGAUCCACCAAGACCGGCAUAACUGAUUCCCUCUUUCCUUGGUGAGUAAGCUCCUGCUUGCUUGGACGGAUUGCUGAUUUUUCUCUGUAUAAUCCAUCUCUUGUGCGAGCCCUCAAAUCCAAAUCUUUGCUUGUGGAAAUGAAUGCUCCAGGGCAUAAUACAUCUUCCUGCGCCGUGGAGUGUUACCUUCUGCUCCCUUUCUGUGAGGCUAUGGUGGUUCUCGCGAAGCUCGGGGCGCCAAGCACGCCAGGUCAGUCUAGGCGCUAACCUUAUCCUGUCAGUCUUGUGUGGCCUGUUUUGUUUAUUCUCCGCAGCCAGCAGUAACUGGAAGCAGUCAAUGUGCAAUCACCUUUUCGCGUCUAUGCAUUGUAAUAAUAAGGAUUGGGGAAAAAAAUUAAACUUUGCUAUACGCUCUCUGUAAUGUGGCUUCAGCUUCAACUUGAACUGAUUGAUGAUCGGCAUUCUGAAUUGGGCACAAUACUGAUCUCGCUAAAUAGUGGGAUUAGAACAUUUUUUCUCAUAUGCCAUGUCGAUUCAGGUAUAUACAGUCAGAAUGUUGACUCAUUCACAACUUAAUUUCACAGGGGAAUUUACCUCAUAUGUAAUUUAUAAUCUGAAUUGAGAUGCUAUGCAUACCAACGAAAUAGAUACAAGUAAUUUGGAGAAACUCCCUCGCAAACUGUAUUUCAUAGAUGAAAGCAAUAUGCAAUCCAAAUCCUGUGUAGACGCUACUUGGGUUCCACUAAGACUAUCCUGAAUUACUUGUGUACAGGUUUUAUGAUGGACAGAAGGAGACUGAUGUUGAUCCCAGCAAUCACCAUUGGCAUAGGCUCCUGUCAGUACACGUUUGAGAAGGGAGCAGCGAAAGCUGAAUUUGCUGAUAGUAAGUCUCCCUAUCUUCAUUGGAUUACAGACAAGGCCAUAUGAUCUUCAAUCAGUAAUAGCUUUCUGUUGGCAUGUCGUCAUUGGAAUGAUCCAGUUAGUAUAUUUGUAUGACUGAAACUCUUUGUACUGUGUGAGACAAACAGAGGGGUGACAUAUAUGGCUAACUGCUUUGCCGCUAUGUAUUCAAGCUUCUUUAGUGUGCAUUUGUUGUUCUAACAAGAAAGUGUAGAAGCAAUCUUAAAAAUAGGCAAUCAGACCUUACUCAACAAUCCAAUUUCAGUGCCUGCACUUCGAGGUAAAGAUUAUGGAAAGACAAAAAUGCGGUAUCCAGAUUACACUGAAACAGAAUCAGGACUCCAGUACAAGGUGCCCUUACCGCCAUCCGCUGAUUUCUUGUUUCCUAUAGAAUGCUUAAACGAUCAGAACAUUGCAUUCAUUAUUGUCAUGACAAAACUACAGGACUUGCGGGUUGGUGAUGGCCCUUCCCCAAAAAAUGGGGAGACUGUUGUGGUGAGUUACAACCCAUUACAUAUGAAUGUACAUGUAGCUCAUUUCGAUGCUGUACAUGUGUUAUCUGUAGAGUUGUGCCAAGCGUCAACCCUGAUGAAGGUUUGAAUUUGUUUACUCCUCAAGGUUGAUUGGGAUGGCUAUACAAUUGGAUACUAUGGUCGUAUUUUUGAAGCUCGGAACAAGACCAAAGGAGGUUCGUUUGAGGUAUCAAUUGCCACCAUAUUUUACAGAAAAUUGAGUCUUUGUAGCUUUCUUACAAGUUCAAACAAUCAUUUGAUUUAUUGAACUAGCUGAAGUGAUCAGAAGAAUUGUGUUGUUGAUGUUUAAUUAUGAAGGACAUGAUUUUUUUGUGCCUAUGAGCGUGCUAUGCUUCAUAAUUUAAAUUCAAAUCUCAAAUGGUGUAGCUCACAUUUCAAUACUCCAAGAAAAGUGAACGAUAAAUGGGAAGCAUACAUGCAUAUUUUCGUCCCAAUUUAACUGAUACAUCAUUCUGCAAUCAUAAAUGUCAGGGUGGUGACAAAGACUUCUUCAAGUUUAAGGUUGGAUCAGGGCAGGUAAUUUACUACUUUAGGCAGUACUGAUCACCUUUUUCAUAUCAUACUACCAAUCAAUUUUGGUAGAGUGCUACAUUACCAUGUCCAUAACUGAAACUGAUCCUUUUCCAAAACAUUGGCUAUGAUAAUUUCAAAGGAUAAUUGUGAAACAGACUACUAACGGUUUUGCAGUUCUGUGAGCACUGUAUGAAAGGGAAUGUUCUGUCAGUGCCUGUCUCAUUGGUACCUUCCUUUUUUUAACAACGUAGGUCAUACCAGCUUUUGAGGAGGCUAUAUCAGGCAUGGCUCCCGGAGGAGUUAGGAGGUAAGGUGGCUUCGAUGCAUUUUCCAAAAGUUCAUCUUGCAACUUGCAAAAUGUACUAUUGAAUUGCUCACCCACUUUAGGAUAAUUGUACCACCGGAUCUUGGGUACCCAGAUAAUGACUACAACAAGUUGGGUCCAAAACCAACGACAUUCUCGGUAAAGCAUUUUCCUGAUUUCACAAGUUAUCCUCAUCAGUGUUUGUUUGAAUCGGGUUCAACAUUUAACAAUUGUCUUCCAGGGACAAAGAGCUCUUGAUUUUGUUCUACGGAAUCAAGGCUUGAUAGACAAAACUCUGCUAUUUGACAUUGAGCUUCUCAAGAUAAUUCCAAAUCAGUAGUAUAUAAGGUUCCUUUCUCACUUGGAAAAUGAUUCUAUCUUGCAUUGACUUCUCUUGUUUGUCCAUAGUUUGGUAACAUAGCCAAAGAUUACAUUUUGCAGGUAUGACGAUUAUGCCUGGAAGAAAGGAGAACAUCUUAUUCACAUCGAUCCAUUAUUGAAGAACUGUGGUAAAAGGAUAUACUGUGUGUCUGUGUGAUCAAAUGUGAAAAGAAAUUUGCUAGGCGUAUGUGCACCUACGUAAUGAUGUGAACAUAUCUACGUACAUCUCCACUAAACAUGUCUCUUUUGAAAAGAUGUGUAUGCAGUUUUCCACCACUGAAGCUGUAUUUAGAUACCUCUCUGGUCACCACUACUGAGCGUAUAGAGGAAGUGAUCAGAUGGCGAAUUGCUGAAAGGAACAACAGCAUUGUAGCUGCAAAAGUUGUAAAUACCAAAAUCUUGCCUCCAUCUAUCUUGAGUAAUUCCUUUGUAGCCUAAUAACAUGGUUCUCGUGGAAUUAUUGAAACUUGAGAAUUGAUUGAUUGGAUCGCGGAAUCAGCAAAGGAGUCAUGAGAAAGAAGGUAAUGCUAAUUGCUAAAGCUGAAAUCGAGGCCUCCGCUGUUAGGUUCACUUCAUUGUUAUUUUGGUACUUCACUUUGUGGGUCCAUAGUUUGAUUUUUUUUAUUUUAACCUUUUUAAAACUAAAAUUUUUAAAAUAACUCACAAUAAACUAAAUUUCCAAUAAGUAGCCCUUUUGGCCACACAAGUUCCAUAGUGCGACUCAUAACUGAGUCACGUCACGUGUAAUGACUUACCAAAAUGCCAUGUUGAAGUACUUUUUAUGUGGCGCUGACGUGGUCUCACGAGUCAAAGGCUAGUCGCGCCAAAGGAGCUAGCGUGAUUGCUGAGUUAAGGGGUGUUUGGAUCUUUAGUCCGGACUAAAAUCAUGUCACAUCGAAUAUUCGGAGGCUAAUUAGGAAGACUAAACAUGAGCUAAUUAUAAAACUAAUUACACAGACAGACGGAGGCUAAUUCACGAGACGAAUCUAUUAAGCCUAAUUAAUCCAUCAUUAGCACAUGUUUACUGUAGCAUCACAUUGUCAAAUCAUGGAGUAAUUAGGCUUAAUAGAUUCAUCUCGUAAAUUAGCCUUCAUCUGUGCAAUUAAUUUUGUAAUUAAUCUAUAUUUAAUACUCCUAAUUAGUAUCUAAACAUUCAAUGUGAUAGGAAUUUUAGGAGGUUCUAAAGAACCAAACACCCCUUAGUCAGGCCACCAUACAUGGCGUGACUAGCUCCCAGCUUGCUAGCUUCUUCAGGUGCACAAAAAUUCAAUUUAUUUAGCCUUAUUUCCUCCUCUAUUUUAAUUACUAAUGACCUCCGAAAUUCUUCAAACUUAGCAGGUAUAAUAUAUAGAGUGUAUAUGUUUCAUUUUAAGUGUUUGCACUCCAAAAUAUGAUGUAGAAAAUGAAAGAUUCAAUUUCUAAAUAGGAUAAGUGUUAUUGACACUUUGCCUAUUAUACUAGUAGCUUGAUUCUCAAUUCUCAAGUACCAUGCAAUAAUGCAUAUGAGACCAUGAUUCUACUGCAUGGAUUUUCUAUAGGCCAAUUAAGCACCCGCAAGUGUUACUUCAAUAUAAGUUUGAUAAAAUUUAAAAUAGCUUGACUCCAAAUAAAUUUACGAUCUCUUUAUGUUUCAGGUUAGAGCCUAGAGGGAGUAUACAUUCAAAAUAAACAUAGAGUUCUACUUCUAGCACUUCAUUAGCAUGUGAAUAGAGCACGUGCCUUUGUGCGGAUUCAUAGUAAAUAUAGUACUAUUACUAAUGGAUAGUGCUGAGGAUCAAUUUGAGUACUCCAACCGAGAUGAAGAAGAACCAAAGAACCGUUUAGCCUCCUUUUCUUUUCUUUCAUUUCGUUUCCUAUGGACUGCGUGAAGCUCGAAGUAAACCCGCCCUAAGGCUAAUCCUAGUGGAUGGCGUGUAAAGGGGUGUUUGGUAACACAUAUUUAAGCAUCGGCGGUGCAAACUUAAAUAAUAACUCCUAUAUAUCCACUUUUAAGCAUCAAGUGCAAAUGAAUCAUUUUUUCUUUUGUUAAACACAUUUAUUAUACAUUUUUAGAUAAAAGGAAUAGUUUCCGGCUACUUCGAUUCUACACAAUCAAGUUAUUAUUACAUCAUUUUCAGCUCAGAAACUGAACCUUUAUUAUACACGGGUGAAGAAUGUGAUCGAGAAAGGCACGUCAGCGCAGGCAACCACCGUGGCAUUGUUGGCACGGAUUUUAGAGAGAGAUUUCCAAUACAGGCCGGUGUAUUUUCGAUAUUGAUUUUGGACACUACUGAGAACAAGAACUUGAUCCCGGACGAAAGUUACAGCGCGUUAUAUAAGUCGAACGCUACGAGAUGGCAAAAUGAAGAGCUAAGCGUGGUUCUAAGCUUACACUACGGGAAACAAGAAAUUCGCCGAGUGCCAGGGGCACUCGGCGAAGGGCGAAAUACACUCGGCGAGCCGUUUGCACUCGGCAAACGGCACACGGCAAACUUUGUGACGGCAAACAAGGAUUUACCGAGUGUUUUCUGUCGCGCACUCGGCAAAGACUUUGCUGAGUGGUCAGAAAACACUCGGCAUACAAUUGUUGAAAAAAAUAAAAAAAAACCUGUUCCGGCCGCCGGCCGCCGCCCGCCGCCGCCAGCCACCACCGCCAGCCACCACCGCCAGCCACCACCGCCAGCACCGCCACCGGCCGCCGCCGCCACCAUCCACACCCAGCCACCGGCCGCCCGCAGCACCACCACCGCCACCGGGAGGGGAAGGGCCGGAGGAGAGGGAGGGGAGGGGCGCCGCCCGCCGGAGGAGAGGGAGGGGAGGGGCGCCGCCCGCGCCGGAGAGGAAGGGGAGGGGCGCCGCCCACGCCGGAGAGGGAGGGGAGGGGUGCCGCCCGCGCCGGCGGAUCUGGAGGAGGGAGGCGGCGGCGCCGGAACCGGGGGAGGCGGUGGCCGCACCACCACCAUCCACACUGCCGCCGCCGCCACCAUCCACGCCGCCGCCACCGCCGCCGCCGGCCACCAUCCACGCCCGCUGGAUCCGGGGCCCCCGACGCGAGUCCCCGCCGGAUCCGGGGCUCCCGACGCGAGUCCCUGCCGGAUCCGACGAGGAGGGGCGGAUUCCCCGCCGGAUCCGGCCGGAUCUGGGGAGAGGGGCGCCCCACGCGAGGGAGGGAGGAGGGGAGAGGAGGGGGAGGGGCGCCGGUAGGAGAGGGAGAGGGAGAGGGAGGGAGGGCGGCGGCGGCGGCGGCGGGAGAGGAAGGUGGGGGAGGGGGGCGUCGGGAGAGGAAGGUGGGGGAGGGGGGCGUCGGUAGGAGAGGGAGAGGGAGAGGGAGAGGGAGGGAGGGCGGCGGCGGCGGCGGCGGUGGAGGAGGAGGGGGCCGGGGGGGGCGCUGGAGGGAGAGGGGGCCGGGGGGGGGGGGGCGCUGGAGGAGUUGGGGAGGCGGUCUGUCGCGGGGAGAGUUGGGGAGGCGGCGGCGUCGGUCUGUUUUGAGGGUGGGGGCGGUCUGUGCCGAGUGUCCUACGUGGACACUCGGUAAAGAGUUUCUUUGCCGAGUGUCCAACGUAGGACACUCGGCAAAUGUUUUUAAAAAAAAAUUUAAAAAAUAUCCAACAGUUUCAAAAAAAUACCAAAUUUUCACACGAACCAAUAUAGGUUCUCUACUGACUAUACAAAAAGUUUUGUAGUCAAACCGAACUCGACCGUCACUUCGACUCUCAAUUUUAUCGAAUCCUUCUCAAAGUUACUAUUCUUCUUCUGAGAUGCUUCGGUUUGUAAUCAUCGUACAUGAUGAAAUGUGCAAAACCUUUUCAAUUUUUUUCCACAGCCUCCACGUAUUAUAUCAUCACAUCAUGACAAAUCUUAAGAUUUUCAGACUUUGAUUAUUUUUUUUACAAUUUAAAAAUACUACUGCCACACGUUCAUGGUCGUGUUUCCUGAACAAGAUGUUCGAAAUUUCUUUUUAUUUCAUGGGUCAGGUCUCAAAUUGGUCCAAAUAACAUGAAUAUCAUUUUUCUACUCAUUUUAUUCCAUAAUUUGAAUCACUUGCAAUUCAAAUUUGACUUAUACCAAAAAUUCCCUUGAAAUGCAAUUAAUUAAUUAAAUAUAGCAAAUAAAUUCAAAAAUAUACCAAAUUUUAACAUGGAGUACCACAUGUUGUAUGUGAGGAGUAGAAAAAAUUUCAUGGUGAAAAGAGAAAAAAAA
RNAcentral lists this long non-coding RNA (63438 nucleotides) under Setaria viridis. RNAcentral describes it as "long non-coding RNA (SVIR_LNC008031)". The record is from RNAcentral. Lineage: Eukaryota; Viridiplantae; Streptophyta; Magnoliopsida; Poales; Poaceae.